AUAAAAUACCCAACUAGGGCUAAACAGAGACAGAAUAUAUAGCCCAAAGUUACAGCUACAAUAAGGAAUGAAAACAAGAACAAUGAACAACAAGAACAAACCUGCACCCUUCACAAGAAGGAUACCCCUCUCCUAUCAGCUGCUGCUGCCUCCCUUUCCUCAAAGAUAACCAAAAAGAUACCUAUCCCUAUUUCUCAAUCAUUCUAUUUAUACUCACCCUCAAUUUCCUACCCAGUGGGACCCACCUGCACAUUCUUUUAUUUCCCACUCAUUCUCUCUCCUUACAUGUUGGUGAGUUUCCCUUCUUACCCUUCCUAACAUACGUAUGUAUGAUUGGGGGUCUCACAACACCCCUCGGUUCCAAAUUCACCUUGUCCUCAAGGUGGAAUGUGGGAAACUGUUGAUUCAUUUGAUAGACAGCUUCCCAUGUGGCUUCAGUUUCUGGUAAAUUCUUCCACUUGACUAGCCAUUCGUUAGCUCCCAAUUCUUUGUUCCAGCGAAUUCCCAAUACCUGUUCUGGCCAUAGUUGUAAUUCGAAAUCUGUUGUCAACAUAGGUUGCUGUUGCUGCACAACCUUCUGCUUACCUAACUUGAGCUUCAACUGUGAGAUGUGGAAUACAUCAUGAAUACUCGCCUCUGGUGGAAGUUUCAAUCUAUAGGCCACCUCUCCUAUCUCUUCAAUGAUUGUGUAAGGCCCGUAGAAUUUUGGAGCCAGCUUUUCACACCUUUUCCGAGCUAAGGAUCUCUGCCUAUAAGGUCUGAGCUUUAGGUAUACUUCAUCACCCACCUUGAACUUCAAUUCCCUUCUUUUGGUGUCUGCCCAUUUCUUCAUGCGGUUUUGGGCUAAGUGAAGGUUCUCCUUCAAGGCGUUCAAUGCCAGAUCUCUCUCCUUGAGCAUUAUUUCUACCUCAUCAUUCUGAGUUUUUCGGGUUCCGUAGGAUAGAAUCGGGGGUGGUUGCCUUCCAUAUACAAUCUUGAAAGGGUUGGAACGUAUGGAUGAAUGGAAAGUGGUGUUAUACCACAGUUCAGCCCAUGGAAUGAACUUAUGCCACCUUUGGGGUUGUUCAUUGCAAAAGCAUCUCAAGUAUGUCUCCAGACAUUGGUUUACCCUUUCCGUUUGUCCAUCUGUUUGUGGUGGAACGCCGUGCUUCUUUUCAGUUUAGUUCCCAUAGUUGUAAAUAACUCCUUCCAAAAAUGACUAAUGAAAACUUUAUCCCUGUCGGAUACUAUGGAUUUUGGAACCCCAUGCUUGCUGAUGAUCUUUUCAAUGAAUGUCGUCGCCACUUGUUUAGUUGUGAAAGGGUGCUUCAUAGUGAUGAAAUAAGCAUACUUGCUCAAUCUGUCUACCACCACCAUUAUCACAUUCAUUCCCCCUGCCUUCGGUAACCCUUCUAUGAAAUCCAUUGACCAUUCUUCUAGUAUGGCUUCCGGAGCAGGAAGUGGAUGUAAUACCCCUGCUGGUUUCGUGGCCUCAUAUUUGUUUCUUUGACAAAUCUCACACUGUUCCACAUAUUUCUUUAUAUCAGCCUUCAUUCCCUCCCAGUACAGCUCUCCGCUCAUCCUUUUAUAUGUCCUCAAGAAUCCUGAGUGUCCUCCUAAGAUGGAGUCAUGGAAUGUAUGCAGCAAUGUGGGAAUCACUGACGACUUCUUUGAUAAUACCACUCUCUUCUUGUAGAACAGUUUCCCAUUCUCCCAGCUAAAUUUGCUAAUUCCCUCUGGAUUCUGUUUCAAUUCUUUAAUGGUUUUCUGUAAUUCCUCAUCUUGGUUGACUUCCUUGUCUAUCACUUCCAUGUCUACAAUGCCAGUUGUCGUCAAGGAGUUUACUUCCAGCGGAUAUUCCAUCCUAGAAAGGGCAUCUGCUGCUUUGUUUUGUAAUCCAGGUUGGUAUAAUAUUUCAAAAUCGUAUCCCAGCAGUUUGGUCAGCCAUUUCUGAAAUUGGGGUUGUACUUCCCUCUGCUCAAGGAGAAAUUUCAAUGCCUUUUGAUCUGAGAUAAUUGUAAACUUCCUUCCUAAUAGAUAAUGACGCCAUUUCUGCACUGAUAAUACUACAGCCAUCAGUUCUCUUUCGUAAAUGGACUUGGCCUGAGCUCGUGUCGACAAUUUCUGGCUGAAGAAGGCUAUGGGGUGACCAUUCUGUGAAAGUACAGCUCCCAAUCCUGUCCCUGAAGCAUCUGUUUCGAUUAAAAAAGGUAGAUCCCAAUUCGGCAGUGCUAGCACCGGGAUAGUAGUCAUGGCCAUCUUUAAUUUUUCAAAGGCCUCGGUUGCUUGUUCAUCCCACGCAAAAGAAUUCUUUUGCAACAAUCUGGUCAAGGGGGCUGCAAUUUCUCCGUAUCCUUUCACAAACCUACGAUAAUAGCCCGAUAAUCCCAGAAAUCCUCUCAGACCCGUGACAUCUUUCGGCUGAGGCCAUUUCACCAUGUCUUUGAUCUUCUCCUCAUCAGCCUGUACUCCUUUACUCGAAAUUAUAUGCCCCAAAUAUUGGAUUUUGGAGUGAGCUAUGACACACUUCUUCUUAUUUGCAAAUAGAUGGUUAUCUCUCAACACUGCAAAUACCAUCCCUAGAUGUUUCUCAUGUUCUGCUAUAUCCUUGCUAUAUACAAGUAUAUCAUCGAAGAAUACCAAUACACACCUUCUUAAAAAGGUUUGAAUACCUGAUUCAUCAAGGACUGGAAGGUGGCUGGUGCGUUUGUAAGACCGAAGGGCAUUACCAGAAAUUCAUAGUGACCCUCAUGUGUUCUGAACGCGGUCUUCUCAACAUCUUCCUUCUGCAUCCUUAUUUGAUGGUAACCAGACUUCAGAUCUAGUUUUGAGAAAACCGUGGCUCCAUGUAAUUCAUCCAGCAGUUCUUCUAUCACUGGGAUAGGAAAUUUGUCUGAUAUGGUUACUUGGUUGAGUUUCCGGUAAUCUACACAAAAGCGCCACCCUCCAUCUUUCUUUUUGACCAAUAAAACAGGGCUGGAGUAAGGGCUAUGACUGGGACGUAUCACACCUGCUUGCAACAUUUCCACCACCAAUUUCUCAAUUUCCUCCUUCUGUACAUAACCAUAUUUAUAUGGUCUGACAUUGAUGGGCCUUUGGUUCGGUAAAACCAAUAUACGGUGAUCUAUUUCUCUCUUAGGAGGUAGUUUUUUUGGAUCCUCAAAGAUGUCUGCAUACUGUUGUAACAGAUUUUUAAUCAUUGGAGUCUCUUCCUCGUCCCCUUUCACUUCCUGCUCCGCUUCCACCUCCGUGUCUACUUCAUACUUUUGGAAUUCCAACAGAAAACCCUGAUCUUCAUUUUCCCACGUUUUCUCAAUGGUUUUCAGGGAACAUUCUGCUUGGAUGAGGGAUGGGUCUCCUUUCAAGAUAAUUUUCUGUUUGCCCAACCAGAAAGACAUUGUUAGAGAUGGCCAAUGUAUCUUCAUGGUGCCUGUUGUAUCCAGCCACUGCAUACCCAAUAUUACAUCCACAUUCCCAACUCAAUAGCAAAAAAAUCAGCCACCACCACCACCCCUUGUAGUUCCAAUUCCACUCUCUUGCAAACACCCUUGCCUGUACACUUGGUGCCAUCUCCAAUUGUAACUGCAAACGGGUUACCUUUUUCCAGAUAUAAGUUCUUUUCCUUUACUGUCCGGUUAUGUAUAAAAUUAUGGGUUGCUCCACUAUCAAUCAGUACUAUCACUCCUUUGCCCUUUAUAUUUCCCUUCAGCUUCAUCGUUCCCUUCGAUGCCAUCCCAUGGAUUGUCUUCAAUUCUAUUUCCUCCCCUUCAGCAAAAUCCAGAUGGUUUAAUUCCACUGUUUCCCCUGGUUCCUCUUCCAUCUUGCCUUCCUCUUCCUUGCUCUCCUCUUCAUUCAUGAUAAAUAACAUCAGCUCCCUUUUUUCCUUCACUCUACAUCUGUGCCCUGGUGUAUAUUUCUCAUUGCAUUUAAAACAUAGGCCCUUAUCCAAUCUGGACCUGAAUUCUGCGUCUGAAAGUCGUUUGAUAGGAGGUUCACUUUUUUGAUAACUACCCUUAAUAGGUAUAGUUACUUGUUUUAUGGGGAAAUCUGUCCUCCUCAUGUAGCCUUUGUCUGUUCCAUCUUGGAUUUUUCCUGCAUACUCUUCUUUUUUCUUUGGUUCCACUGUCCUGCCCUCGUCUUAGUCAAUUUCAUUGCUACAUUCCGAUCAUUGACUAGUUUAGCCUCCCUCAUACAAUCUUCCAAUGUUCGAGGGAAACGACUAACGACUUCUGCCUGAAGAUUGGGUUCCAGACCGGUCAGAAAAGCAUCUCGUAACACACUUUCCUCCAUGUGAGGGAGGGGAGCUGAAUAUGUGACAAAUUUCUUCACAUACUCACUGUAGGAUCCAUCUUGUUGAAUCCUAAUCAAGCGUGCCACUAGACUUGUUUGUCCCGAGUCCUUGAAGAAAUCAAACAUCCUCCCUUUCAAAUCUUCCCAUGACUCUACUUUCUUCCUAUUAUGCGUCCACCUGUACCAGUCCACUUCCUCUUGCCCAAAACUGACCACCGCCACUCUGAUCUUCUCGUUUUCUGGCAGGUUGUUCAUCUCAAAGAAAUGUUCUGCUCUAUAUACCCAGGAUUCUGGAUUUUCACCUAAGAACAUAGGCAUUUCUAACUUUGCGUACUUACUUCGAUCCACAUUGCUUCCAUUUACCUCAUUACAGACUUCCGAUUCUUCUACUUUUCCUUUCAACUUCAUGCUGGAUCCAUCAGAUGUUCCGGAUUCAUCUCUUUUCUUAUAGCUAUGAUUCUCUCUUAGUUCCUCUGUCAGUCUUUCCAUAGAUUUCUUCAUUUCCAGUAGCAUUUCUUUCAUGCUCAGCAGCUCCUUCUCGGUUCCUUCCAUUCGUUCCUCCAUUUGUCUUUGUGCCAUGCGACGCGUCACCACCCCCAGUUUUUUUUUUUUUUUUUUGUCGGGCUCUGAUACCAAAUGUUAGGAUUCUACACCCUUUUUAAUAAAAUACCCAACUAGGGCUAAACAGAGACAGAAUAUAUAGCCCAAAGUUACAGCUACAAUAAGGAAUGAAAACAAGAACAAUGAACAACAAGAACAAACCUGCACCCUUCACAAGAAGGAUACCCCUCUCCUAUCAGCUGCUGCUGCCUCCCUUUCCUCAAAGAUAACCAAAAAGAUACCUAUCCCUAUUUCUCAAUCAUUCUAUUUAUACUCACCCUCAAUUUCCUACCCAGUGGGACCCACCUGCACAUUCUUUUAUUUCCCACUCAUUCUCUCUCCUUACAUGUUGGUGAGUUUCCCUUCUUACCCUUCCUAACAUACGUAUGUAUGAUUGGGGGUCUCACAGAACUCUUGGAAUGUGAAUCUGCACUUUCCUGUAAUACUUUGAGUGUGAAUUAGUUCUCUGAGAACACCUGCAGAGGAUAAUCCAUGGCAAAACAGAAUAUCUAUAAAAAAAACCACUUGCAAGUAGAAGAAAAAGGAAGUACAUUUAUACCUUCCCUGUCAAAGUGAUAUCCCUAAUCAACGCAUAUGCAUUUCUUUCCAGGAAGUAACCAACAAUUUUACAAACCCAUGGGAGUUUAGGUUGUAAUAAGAAAAUAAUUGUGUCUAACAAUAGAGUUGCAGGUGUGUUAGAGUUCACAGGUGCAGCCAAAAGUUGAUUCCUCAAUUGGUUUCUAUCAAGAACAACAUCAAGUAAGAAUAAUUCAGAGGAAAAAUAAAGACAACUUAUCAUAUAUAUAAAUAAGAUUAAUCUGAAUUCGUUAGCUGAAGGUAAAAAAACCUUUAUGUCAGUUAUAUAUAUCUGAACAAAAUCUAAGAAAUAUAUCACUUUUCAACAAAAGAAAUAUAUCACUUUUCAACAAAAGAAAUAUAUCACUUUUCAACAAAAGAAAUAUAUCAUAUACAAUUAAAGGAUCACAGCAUAGAAAGCCAACAAAAUCAACAAUGAUAGAUCAAACAUCUGUUCUUCCAAUCAAAACGUUAAAAAGGAUAAGUUUUUAAUAAGGAAUGUUGAAAUGGAAAAAACUAAUUACCUAUUAUGGUGUACAGUCUGGAUGCAAGCAUAUGCAAAUUUCUUAACUCUCUAAUCCACUAAGCCUUGUUAAGUACAUAAUCCUUGCUAGCGAAAAUGCUCAACAUAUCCCCUAUAUAUGUAAGAGAGAGAAAGGUAAGAAAGUACUAACACUAAGAGAUAUGUGCUAUCAAUUAGAACACUUUAAGAUGAUAUUAUCAAUUAGAAAACCAAGCAUAAAGCAACAUAAGCGAAAAUAACAAACAAGGGCACCACAGUGGUUCAGAAACAAAUCAAUAUUUUCAUUUGUCACUUUUAUAAUAAUUUCCCAAGGGAAAAUCCUCAUAACAAUCCUCGUUUUCCCCCUACUAUGGAACGGGGAGGAUUCCUCCUCUUUUCAAAGCCCUUGCCAAACUCAAUGCUAAGUUUGACUGCUCCCUUCGGAGUGACAACAAGCCUUGUUUUCCCCCUAAUGUGGAUCGGGGAGGAUUCCUCCUCUUUUCAAAGCCCUCAUCAAACUCGAUGCUAAGUUUAGAACGCUAAGAGUAGGUGGUUUGGUUUUGGUUAGGCCAAAAGUAAAGUUUUAUGCUAAAAGCUCUGAUAGUUAGGGAACUCAACACAUUCUACCUGACCGAACCAAGUUGGCUCUUUGUUUUUUUAUGGGAUUUUUCUAAUGUAUAUUGCAUGUGUUGUUUGUUUUUUUUAUAGCUCUUGAUUGUUUAACCUUUUGACGUUUUGCAUUUGCAAGUCUCUCUUUUGUUUCUUUGGUAUGCAAUGUGGUAACAAGGUCUUGCUAGAACCGGUGGGCUAACCUUUCUAUGGUUCUAAACUUAGUUUCUAAGUUUGACUGCUCCCUUCGGAGUGACAACAAGCCUCGUUUUCCCCCUACUAUGGAACGGGGAGGAUUCCUCCUCUUUUCAAAGCCCUCGUCAAACUCAAUGCUAAGUUUGACUGCUCCCUUCGGAGUGACAACAAGCCUUGUUUUCCCCCUAAUGUGGAUCGGGGAGGAUUCCUCCUCUUUUCAAAGCCCUCAUCAAACUCGAUGCUAAGUUUAGAACGCUAAGAGUAGGUGGUUUGGUUUUGGUUAGGCCAAAAGUAAAGUUUUCUGCUAAAAGCUCUGGUAGUUAGGGAACUCAACACAUUCUACCUGACCGAAACAAGUUGGCUCUUUGUUUUUUUAUGGGAUUUUUCUAAUGUAUAUUGCAUGUGUUGCUUGUUUUUUUAUAGCUCUUGAUUGUCUAACCUUUUUACAUUUUGCAUUUGCAAGUCUCUCUUUUGUUUCUUUGGUAUGCAAUGUGGUAACAAGGUCUUGCUAGAACCGGUGGGCUAACCUUUCUAUGGUUCUAAACUUAGUUUCUAAGUUUGACUGCUCCCUUCGGAGUGACAACAAGCCUCGUUUUCCCCCUACUAUGGAACGGGGAGGAUUCCUCCUCUUUUCAAAGCCCUCGUCAAACUCAAUGCUAAGUUUGACUGCUCCCUUCGGAGUGACAACAAGCCUUGUUUUCCCCCUAAUGUGGAUCGGGGAGGAUUCCUCCUCUUUUCAAAGCCCUCAUCAAACUCGAUGCUAAGUUUAGAACGCUAAGAGUAGGUGGUUUGGUUUUGGUUAGGCCAAAAGUAAAGUUUUCUGCUAAAAGCUCUGAUAGUUAGGGAACUCAACACAUUCUACCUGACCGAAACAAGUUGGCUCUUUUUUUUUUUAUGGGAUUUUUCUAAUGUAUAUUGCAUGUGUUGUUUGUUUUUUUAUAGCUCUUGAUUGUCUAACCUUUUUACGUUUUGCAUUUGCAAGUCUCUCUUUUGUUUCUUUGGUAUGCAAUGUGGUAACAAGGUCUUGCUAGAACCGGUUGGCUAACCUUUCUAUGGUUCUAAACUUAGUUUCUAAGUUUGACUGCUCCCUUCGGAGUGACAACAAGCCUCGUUUUCCCCCUACUAUGGAACGGGGAGGAUUCCUCCUCUUUUCAAAGCCCUCGUCAAACUCAAUGCUAAGUUUGACUGCUCCCUUCGACGUGACAACAAGCCUUGUUUUCCCCCUAAUGUGGAUCGGGGAGGAUUCCUCCUCUUUUCAAAGCCCUCAUCAAACUCGAUGCUAUGUUUAGAACGCUAAGAGUAGGUAGUCGGUUUUGGUUAGGCCAAAAGUGAAGUUUUCCCCCAUUUUUUAUGGACUUUUUCUACUGUUGUUUGAUUUUUUUUAUAGCUCUUGAUUGUCUUACUGUUUUAUGUUUUGCAUUGUCAAGUCUCUCUUUUCUUUCUUUGGUAUGCAAUGUGGUAACUAGGCCUUGCUAGAACCGCUGGGCUAACCUUUCUAUGGUUCUACAUUUAGUUACUAAUUAAGUUAGAUUGCUCCCUUCGAAGUGACAAUAAGUUUUGUUAAUGUCGACCCUUUUUUAAAGGGAUUUAGUUCAUUGUGGCUAGACAAGAGGCUUCUAACUCAUGUUUGACAAGACAAAUUUGUUAAAACCAUCCCAGUUUCUAAAGAGUGCCUCCUAUCCUUUUUUACUCUAUCUAGGCUAGGUUUGGACUAAGUGCAUCAUAGGUAAGUCACGACAAAGCAACAAAGAAGACAAAGCUAGAAAAGUAUCCAUGCACUUAUUUAUUAUACAUGCAAUCAAGCAUUCACAACACACAUACCAUUUUCUCAAUCAUGCAUUCACAUCUCAAUAAGAAAUAGCUAAAAGGAGCUUAAAACAAAAAAGACAGCAGCUUAUGCUCAAAUUUCAGCACAUAUACUCAUCAAAAUUCAGAAUUUCACAUCAUAAACCCGAGCUCAGUGCUCAAGGGUUGCCAAUCAUGCUUUUUAUGCAAGAUCUAAUUAAGCUAUGCUCAUUAUUGUAUGGAAAGAAUUCUGAAAAAUUUUGAAAUUUGGGCAAAAUUUGAACCCCCAAGUUUACACUAUGCAAGCUAAGCAAGCUAUUAUCCACACCCACUCAAAAAAUUGCUUUUUCUGUCCUAAAAGCUUUUGAAAAUCAAAGUAAAUGGAGAAAAAUAAGGGGGGAACUUUGGACUCCUCUGGAAGGAUCGACAUCCUUGACUUUUGUUUGAAGCUUGCAUGGAUAAACCUUUUCAUUCCUUUUUCAUUGAUUAUUCAUCCUUGUUCCUGAAAAUCAAAGGAAAUUCUCUCAAUUUUAUAUAUUACUAAAAUUAGGAUACAUAUAAGUCUUAACUAGUCUAAUAGCACCCUCCAUUCAUCUUCCCCUACACUGGCUAUGGUAUCAAAAUUUUCAAUUAAGUAAUACGUCUACUAACGAACUUGAAAACAAAACACAUCACACUAAAAAACACAAACAUCACUUUAACCCAACAGAAGCAACUCUUUUUACCCUUGCACUCACUAUCACAUUACUAUCAUGUUUGUCAACUGUCAAACUAACUCUUUUAAGUUAUUUAGUGUGACUACAAAGUUAUGAACACCAUAAUCUUAAUUAAAACCUUUUAAUAAAUAAAUGCGAAGUUACUACUCAAGAAUGGCAAGGAAUUCAAAAAACAUGACAGCUAUCCUAAUUGGUUGAAAAUGAGAAAAAGAAAGUUAGCCAGACAACCUGUUUGGACUACAAAGCCAGCAGAUAUGAUUCCUCAAAUUUGACCAUUCACUCUCCAUACUCUACAAGUCUUCAAGCACAUGAUGCUGCCUACUUUCAGAUGAGCAACAUCAUUCCGAUCUUAACAGUCAGAAGAGCAAAUCAAAUCAAUCCUAGCAUAUUCACAAAUCACAACUAAAAAGUACAAACAUUACAAAAUAAAACAUGCAGCGAUAUCAACAAGCAUUCUGAUAAAUAAUUAGCCAAUUAAUUGACAUUACAAAAUAAAUAAAGAAAAACAAGCAUUCUGAUAUUUUUCUAUUUGUGCGGGCAGCCGAUGUUCACAAAACAGCGUUUCGAACCCACGAGGGGCCCUAUGAAUUCCUUGUGAUGCUGUUUGGGUUGAAACGCUCCGGCAACAUUCCAAUCAAUCAUGAGUGAUGUUCUUCGCCCAUAUUUACGCAAGUUUGUUUUGGUUUUCUUUGAUGACAUCUUAAUUUACAGCAAGUCCUUGGACGAGCAUUUGCACCAAUUGGCAAUGGUUUUGGAAACUCUAGUAGCUCAUCAACUGGUAGCCAACUUUAAAAAAUGCCAAUUUGCGGUUGACAAAAUUGAAUACUUGGGCCAUGUUAUUUCUUCAGAGGGGGUGGCAGCGGAUCCAACAAAAAUAGAAGCGAUGGUUAAAUGGCCAGCACCCAAGAACGUGAAGGAGCUAGGUGGGUUUUUUGGGGCUAACGGGGUAUUAUCGGAAAUUCGUUGCAAACUACGGUUCUAUUGUGCUGCCCCCCUUGACACAACUGUUAAAAAAGGUAACUUUAAGUGGAAUGAGACGACCGAGAACGCAUUUCAGCAGUUAAAAGUCAGCAAUGAUGUCUGUCCCGAUGCUAGGUAUUCCUGAUUUUUCACAAAGUUUUGUGCUGGAAACUGAUGCUUCGGGUGUGGGUAUUGGGGCUGUCCUAAUGCAAAAUCAACGACCAGUGGCCUUUUUCAGUCAAGCUUUACCUAUUACCCAUAGGUUUAAGGCUGUUUAUGAACGGGAGCUUAUGGCAAUAGUGCUGGCUGUUCAAAAAUGGCGACCAUAUCUAUUGGGUAAGCCUUUUGUGGUGCGUACAGAUCAGAAAAGUUUGAAGUUUCUUCUUGAACAACGGGCUAUCGGGGGAGAAUAUCAGAGAUGGAUCGCUAAACUAUUGGGGUAUGAUUUUGUGAUUGAGUACAAGAAAGGAUUGGAAAACAAAGCGGCCGAUGCCUUAUAGAGAUUACCACCGGUAUUUGAAUUGGGCCUCGUAAGUAUUGUGGGGGGCUAAACCCUUCAGUUUUCAUCGAUCAAGUGGCUGGAAAUGAAUCUCUUAACAAUAUUCGACUAUCCUUGAUAAAUGGACAACAAGCUCCAGAGGGAUAUUCGCUACAAGGAGGAGGAUUCACCUGAUAUUACUUUAUUAUUAGCUGAAUUCCAUAACAGCCAGAUAGGGGGACAUCAUGGUGCAUUGAAAACAUAUCAAAGGCUAGCAAGGGAGGUAUAUUGGCGAGGUAUGACAGCCCAUAUCCGCACCUAUGUUGCUGAAUGUUCCGUGUGUCAACAAGCCAAAUACUUGUCUUUAACUCCGGCUGGUUUUCUUCAAGCAUUACCCAUUCCGGACCGUGUGUGGGAAGAUAUUAGUAUGGAUUUUAUUGAGGGCCUCCCCAAAUCCGAGGGUUAUGAUGUUAUAUUGGUAGUUGCGGAUCUUCUUUCCAAGUAUGCACAUUUCAUCCCCUUGAAACAUCCAUUUGGUGCAAAAGUGGUUGCUGCUGUUUUUAUGCGAGAGAUUAUUCGUUUGCAUGGAUGCCCCUGAAGUAUAGUGUCGGAUCGUGAUCGUAUUUUCACAAGUCUAUUAUGGGAAGAGUUGUGGAGGUUGUUGGAAACUCAGUUGAGACGAAGCACCACUUACCACCCCCAAACAGAUGGUCAAACGGAAGUUGUCAAUCGAGGGGUGGAGACGUAUCUAGGGUAUUUUUCUAUGAACACACCUAAACAAUGGGUUAAAUGGCUAGCUUGGGCUGAAUUGAGCUAUAAUACAACAGUCCGUACAGCCACAUUGAUGACCCCCUUCGAGGCCCUCUAUGGGCGACCACCCCCUCUAUAUUACCAUAUGUGAAGGGCUCGAGCCGGGUGAAUGAUGAAGUAGACCAUUUGAUGAAAGAAAGAGAUGAAAUUUUGGGCGUUUUGAAGGCCAAUUUACUGAAAUCACAGCAGCAAAUGGUCAAAUAUGCUAAUGCUAAAAGACGGGAGGUGCAGUUUGAGGUUCAUGAUUGGGUUUAUGUGAAGUUACGCCCUUACCGACAGUCCUCUCUCAGCCGUUUUAAGCACUCCAAAUUGGCCCCAAGAUUCAUUGGUUCAUUUAUGAUCGUGGCACGAAUUCGUUUCGUUGCAUACCGUUUGGCCCUUCCCAAGGAAUCGCUUAUACACCCGGUCUUUCAUGUUUCUGUUCUUCGCAAGGUCGUGGGUUCAAACAGGCCAUUAUUCCCAAUUUCAAAAGAUUUGGCUGCUGAUUUGUCUAUGCAAGUGUCUCCGGUAGAAGUAUUGGGAGUUCGCAAAACAAUAGAAAAGGAGGACAACUUAGAAGUUUUGAUCCGUUGGAGUGAGGGGACACUUGAAAGUGCAACGUGGGAACAAGCUGCUCUUAUUCAAGAAACAGUUUCCUGAAUUCCACCUUGAGGACAAGGUGGCUAUUUGGGGGCUAGUAAUGAUAGACCUCCCAUAGUAAAGGUGUAUUCCCGUAGAGACAAGAAUAGGAAGAAGAAAGAAUGAUUGAGAGUUAGUUGAUAUUUUUCUAUUUGUGUGGGCCCUUAGGAAUGUGUUUGUUAGAGUGGGGCCAAGUAUUUUGUUAUUUCUCUAAGCAAUUACUUAAGUUUCUUGAGUGGGAGGGUAAUGGGUAUCUUGAUUUUGGUAUAGACUCUCAUUAGAGAAGUGUGUAGAGAUUGGGGAGCUCUCAAAUCCUCCCCCACAGUUGAUAAAUAAAAUUUUGGCUAAAGCCUUGACAAAAGCUAAUGUAGAACACCCCCCUUCUUUAUGUUUCUUGAGUUUUAUCCUAGAGGAGGUGUUUGAAUUACCAUUUUUAUAGUUUAGGAUUAGUUAUUUGAGUUAACAAUUUUGUAUCUUGAGUUAGUUAUAAGUAAACUAACUCAACCCCAAGUUAGUUUAACAACUCUUGUAAUCUCCAGCCUAUAAAAAGGCUUCUCAUUUUCAUUAAUAAAUGAUAAAAAAAAAGGCAUUAUACAUAAAGAUUUCCUAGCUUUGCAAUUACAGCAUCAAAAGCAAUGUACAGUUCAGAUGAGACUUUAUUCCAGUAUAGAGUAGCUCUGUAAUUGCAGAUCAAGAAAGUGAAUGUAGCAUGGAAAUCCCAAAUUCAACAUUUGGAAGUUAGCAAUUGACAAUCUCAUUAGUAGGCAGUGCACCCAUAAUAAAAUGUAAGAUUUUUAGAACCCUAAAAAUUCAAGUAACUUGCAACUAGUCAUUGUCAUGACCAUCAAUACUACGAUUAGUGGAUCAGCACAAAAUACAAAACAGUAAGACAGUAAAUCUUUAAAAACCUUACUUCUGUUUUAACUUGCUCAAGAAGAAUGUUGCAAAAAGUAUAUCAACAAGAAUUCCUUCAAACAUGACCUACAGGAAGAAGGGUAAAACAACAACAACAUCCUGUCAAAAAUCAUUUAAUGUGAUUGAGAUCUUUUAGCAUGACUGCUUGAGAACUUUUAGCACAACCAAGCAGCAACUUCAAUAACAGAAAAACAUGCAUAAUGUAGGAAGACAACAAAUUUCAAAUUAUGACAUUGUAUUUAUGAAUGUCAGGCGAUUCAUUGAUGUUCCAAAAUUCAACCAAAGUAUGGGGUGAAAGAUAUAUAAGAAUCUUCCAUGAUAAGGCCAAGACCAGGAUAUCCUUAUCCAAAAAAAGAAAAAACUAAUCAACCAAAGUAAAUUCCAUGUAUGAUUGGGAAUUAUGGCCAUACCUUUGCCAAAAGAACUUCGAGGAAAUGGAAAAACUGGAGAUGUUGCUCAUGUAUCAUUCCCGAACCAGGAUUGGGGUAGAGCAAAUGGUCAGCAAUUUGCUGGAUUACCAAGCAGAAAAUAACUUAUAUUAGAAAAAAUGAACAAUACAUACCCACAUAUUACUGAAAUUUUAUGAAAUAGAUUUCAAGCAACCAAUUUUUAUAUUGAAAUGUGAUCUCACAACUAUUUUUAUUUUGAAAAGCGAUUUCAAACAACUAUGGCUGUCUCAUCACGCUUCAUGUUAUCCAAUAAUACUACAGGAUUAACAAAGCCAUGCCAUGCUAAUAAUAAGGAAUGUCGUGAUAACCUUAAAUAAACCAUACUGCACGUCAAAGGCUGCCCGUGUAAUGUUCUCCAUGACAUCUUUAAAAAUACCACCACCAUCAAUUCCUGCCUCCUCAACUCCAAAUUCAUUAACAAAAGACACACGUAUCUGCAUGCAGAAAAGUGAAGCAAUUGACCCAACACAAACAAGAAAAAACUAAUAAACAAUUACAAGUAACUCUGCAACUAUAGGAUGCAGAAGAGGGAAGGGGUCGUUUUCACGAGGGCAAAGAAAAAGAUAGAAAAAAGUAAGAUAACAAUUUCAUUUUUCAUAAAUCUGAAAUUACCGAUCCUCGAAGAUCAACUUCAGACAAUGCACUCAUCUGACUGAAAGCAUCUUCCAAUAUAUGAUUUCGUCGAAUUCUAAACCGGUUUCUGGCAAAAACAGCAAGAGAUCCAUUCCUUUGCCUAGCUGCUGCUAGUUGUGUCUGUGAAAUGAGUUAUAGAGAAAGUAACCAUAAAUAAAAAAUAUCUUACAUAUUUCUAUAACUAACAGUCAUCAAGAAAUUCAAUAUUGUGGAUAAGGAAACCAAAAAAAUAACUUGCUUACAGUGAAAAUCUUAACCCUGCUAAUAAACGGUACUAAAAAGGGAACUCGCUUGUGUAUAUCAUUUGCUCUGGUAUUUUCUAUCACUGCCUACAAAGAAACAAGGCCAAGUAAAUAAUUAGAAUUACGAUCAGAUAGUGGUUUCUCUCAUGGAAAUUCCAUUGCAAAAUGGAAGGUUCACUUGGUCUAGAGACGGUAAUUCUCCUUGAAGAUCAUUAUUAGACUGAUUCUUCAUAAAUCAGAUGUGGGAUAUUUGUUUUGAAAAUUCUCGGGUUUCUCGAAAAGCACGCAUCUUCUCGGAUCACUUUCCUUUAUUCUUGGAGGCUGGUUCUUUUCUUUGGGGUCCCUCUCCUUUUCGGUUUUGUAACAGCUGGUUGGUGUCCAGUGAUUCUAAUCAGAUUAUUGUUGAAACAGUGAGCAACUCUAACUUCCAGGGAUGGGCUGGUUUCAUUCUUCAUGAGCAGUUGAGAUCAGUUAAAUUGUUAGUUGAUUAUGUUCAAAGCAAAUUUCUGGUAAAAUGGCCUUUACUGCAUUUAACCAAAUCAAUCUUGGUUUCUUCUUGAGAAUGGGACAUGAAAUAAGCUGGACCGCGUUCUCCUAAAUCUAUAGUCGAAAACCCAAUUCAAAUGAAGAUAGCCAAGUAAGCCAAAACCAACACUUCUUUGCAUGUAGGCAGGAGAAGAAAAUAUGAUGUAAAUCUUCUAAAGCAUGCAAACACAAGGGAGAAACAUGAGAAGAUAAACUGAGAAAGGGAGGUUUCAUUUGCAAAACUUCUGCACAGUUCAUAGUCCAUUUCGCAUUCUCCAAAGCGUGAUAUUCACUCUUCUAGGGCUUUCUGUCUUCCAAAUUGUCGAGUACUUUGUUUUCAAGACUGUGUUAGAACAUGUUUGGCUGAUUAAUAAAUUAGUAGAACACACUAUUUGGUGUUCUAUCAUUUUGGUAUCGGAGAAAUCGAAUCUGUGAAGUUCUAUAUCAUGGCUCAAAAGCGAAUUGAGGAAAAGUUGGAAAUGGUAGAUCAAGAAAUAUCCGGCAUUCGAGCAGAAUUACAUGAUCUGCCAACAAUCAAGGAAAACGUGUCAUCUUUGGCAAAGAGUAUUGAGAGGUUAGGAGUACAGGCUGAGAAGCAACAACAGCAACCAGAAACACUGUUGAAAUAUAUUGAAGGAAUGAUCAAAGGGAAGACAACGAUGGAAGAAGUACUAGAAGGAUCAUCAAGUGAGUUGACAGCAUGGUUGAUGUCAGUGAUUGGACGAUGAUGGGAGGAAAAUAUGAGGAAAAACAUACCAAGUUGGAGGGUGAAGAUUCUGCGGGCGACCGAAGCAAAUUUAAAAAAAUUGAAAUGUCAGUUUUUGUGGGAAAUGAUCCUGAUUCUUGGUUGUUUAGGGCUGAGAGAUACUUUCAGAUACACAAACUGAGUGAGUCAGAGAAAAUGACUGUGUCCAUUAUUAGUUUUGAUGGAGCAUCUUUGAAUUGGUAUAGAUCCCAUUAUUAGUUUUGAUGAAGCGAGAUAUAUCCUAUUAAAGUUGUCGUGUUACUUAAUCGCAUUAUAACGCAAAGACAUUCCUUUGCUCUUUCUUGCAUACAAGUUAGUUCCCAUUUCCAUUUUUUCAUCCAUAUUCCCUCUUAUAGAAUCUCUAAGCGUAGAUAUCUAGUGGUAGUUUGUUCUUGUAUUUCUUUUAUACCAUUCGUUAUUCUUUAAUUCUUUUAUACUGCCUAGAUAAUAAGUAAUACCUAAAAUUAAUAUCUUGAAUCAAUUCCUUAUGUUCGACUCGGAUCACCCAAGUAAACCUACCAUUUCACUUGCACUUGGACAAGUAGUAAGAAAACUUGUACUCAAGAGGACUUAGUUGCCACACGAUAUGAAGGUCUAGUGAGCAAUUCACAUGCAGUUAACAUGCUUAGUGAUAUAUCGCCUAGAUUGAGUAUAAUUUUCAUUCACCAUUUACUAACACUAAGUCCUGAUUGUUGAAGAGAAACAACACCUCAAUAACCGGAGCGAUCGACUUCUAUCUUUAGUUAUUCGAUCUUGAACCUUAAUUGCACCGAGAGAUGGCCUGGGAUGAAACAAAUUUACAUUUAUUUUAUUCAGUCUCGAGCAUACAUUGUCCUAAGAUGCUACAUUAUGAAAGACUUCUGCCUUUAGUUAUUCGAUCUUAGGCCUUAAUUGCACUGAAAUGGCUCGGGAUGAAAGAAUUCUGUCUUUAUUCUAUUUAAUCUUGGGCAUACAUUACAUUGAGAUGCUCCGAAAUGAAAUUUUUUUGCCUUUAGUUAUUCGAUCUCGACCUUAAUUGCAUCGAGAUGACCCGUUAUUAAUAAAUCACAAAGAAGAUAUAAAUCGCAAGGACGUCUAUGGAAUUUGUGAAAAAAUAAUCUCGCAUCAUGGACUUUUCUUAUUUUGUUAUACGAACCAUAAAUAUUUUGGAUUUUUCUACAUUUAUGUAAAUACUCUUAAAUUAAUCUAAUUAAUAUUUAAUUGGAAAUCACUGCCACUUGGAUAUAGGAAUACGGGAGCAUCCCACAUUCUCUAAAUAACACCCACAUAUGGAAGUUAUUAUCUUAAUUUAAAUAAUGAUCACAAAUAGCAAAAAAGUUAAAACUAUUUACAAAAUAUAGCAAAAAAUUGAAACUAUUUACAAAAAGACUCAAAUGUGCUAUAGAGAAUUUAAUUAUUAUGCUAAUUAGUUUCAAUUUAAUUAUAUAUUUGAAAAUUCCACUUAAAUUUGAUUAACACUAAAAUAAUUAGUUAAUAUAUAAUAAUUAUUUAAAUCACAUUUAAUUAAUAUUUCAUUUAAAUCACAUUUAAAUGAAUAUCUCUCACAUAACCAAUAGUUUGAUUUUAAUUAAUAGAAUUAAACUAAAUUAUUAAUUAAUUCUUCAAUUAUUUAAUUUCUAAAUUAAAUAUUUUAUAUUUGAUUUAAUAUAGAUUUGAAUCAUACUCAUAUAUGAAUUUCUCUCAUAACCUAUUGUUUGAAUUUGUAUCAUAUACGUAUUAAAUUUUAAUCUAUAGUUUUAUUACAAAUUUAAUUCAUAUUAAAUUAAUAUUUGAACUCAUUCAAAUAUUUAUUAUUUCAUAAUUAAUUUUAAAUCAUAUACAAAAUUAAAUUUAUAUAAUAAAGUUCAAUUAAAAGAUAAAUUUUAUAUUAUAAUAUAUCACCAUACAUUAUACUAAUUUUCAAAGUAAAUAUGAACAUUUCAAAUUACAGUCAAUAUGUAAUAACCUUAAUACCCUUUACAUACUAGGAAGGGACCUAAUAAAUUUACAUUUCAAAGUGAAAUCAAUUUAUUUACUUUAGUUGUCGUAUUAUCCUUAAGAGCACCUCAUGCCUCCACAUCAAUAAUCAUUUUAUCUCAUUGCAACAAUCACCCAUAUAAAUAUUGAAUCAACAUAUGGUUCUGUACCUAAUGAUGAAAAACUUGGCACUGAGCCAAGUAUCUCCCCCAAUAAUCGUAAAGUGAUUCAUCCUUUCCUUGUGUGAUGCCAUAGAUUUUCUUCCUCACACUAGUAGCAUAAAAGGUUGAAAAGAACUUUUCCAAAUAUUGUCUCUACAUCUACUCCCAUGAAAUAAUGCUCCCUGGUGACAAGUAAUAGAGCUAAUCUUUCACUUCUUCGUGUUACGAGAAGGGAAAAGCUCUCAUGUUCGUCUGCUCAAGGGUUAUAAUGUGAGGACUCAUUCCAUUGCAAACAAUAUGGGGCUCGGCUAUCGAGAAUAAUAUGGGGCUCGACUAUCGAGAAUUAUAACGACUGAACCCUAAGUGGAAGUCCAUAAGUUCACUUUAGCAGUUAGCUAAAUGAAAAUCUACUUAUAAUAUGGAGCAAGCACUAGAAGAAAUUUGCUCUUUAUUGUCAGUUUAGAACCGACAUUAAUGGCCUUCGGUGUUAGUUCGGAAUUGACAUCUAUGCUAGCGUUAUUAAAGGCCUUUAAUGUCAUUUUUGCUUUGAUGUCAGUUUAAAAAUGACAUCAAAUGCAUCAUUGAUGGCCACUGAUGUCGGUUUUAAAUCAACAUUUUUUAUGGCGUAAUUGUUGACCUUUACUGUUGGUUUUCCUUUAAUGUCGUUUUUAAACCGACAUCAAAGCCUUGUUUGUUUUUUAAUUUAUUUAUUUUAAUUAUUUUCAUGGUGUCGAAAUCGACAUUAUUUGUUACGAAUUACGACAUGAAAUGUUCGUCAUCGAAUAUUAAAAAAGUAUAAAAAAUAAUUGUUGCAUGAUUGCUAGCUGUCUACCACUCCAUGGCCAACCUUAUAUAUUACUUCCAUAUUUCACCUGCAAGGCAGAAGAUCAACACCUACAAAACAAGCAUACACUUCCACACAUCCAAUGGCAAACUAAUACUAUUUCUAGCUAUAUAGAAUUCAAACCUACAAAACCAGCACAUAGACUUCCACACUUCGAUGCAAACUAAUAAUAUUUCUAGCUACAGAAUUCAACACCUAAAAACCCAACAUAUAUACAUUUUUCCACACUUCCAUAGCAAACCAAUAUUUCCAUUUCACCUACAAGGAAGAAGAUCAACACCUACAAAACCAGCAUACACUUCCACACAUCCAAUGACAAACUAAUAUAUUUCUAGCUAUAGAAUUCAACAUGUAAGAAACCUACAAAAACCAGCACAUACAUUUCCACACUUCCAUGGCAAACCAAUAUUUCCAUUUCACCUACAAGGAAGAUCAACCCCUACAAAACCAGCAUACACUUCCACACAUCCAAUGGCAAACUAAUACUAUUUCUAGCUAUAGAAUUCAACAUAUAAAAGACUAAGUUUAGAUAAUUUAUGUAAUUUGUAACAUAUAAAAAGUGAAAGUAGAAACUUACAAGGCUAGUGAUGGGAGUACUAGAAUUAUGCACGAUUUCAUGUAUAUACUUUUGGACAUAAUACCCACACCCAACCGAAUCCAAUUGACGAGGACACUGCAUGCAUAUAAAUUACAUACAAAUUAUUCUUAUGUUUCAUUGAAAAUAAUUAUGUGUCAAUGCAAAUUACCUUUAUAGGUUUCCAUUUCGGAUUUGACCGAUAAUGUUGUAAAUCAUGCUUAGCUUGCCAUGUUUUUAAUCCUCUAUACAUUUGGAAACAUUAGAAUUAAAAGACAAUGAAGUCAAAUAAGAAGUAAAUCAUAAGUCACAUUUAUGACUCCAUGGAUGUCUUCGUUAACUUUACUUUGAAGAGAGUCCAAAACAUAAACACAGUUCUCUCGAAGAUCGAUGACAUGCAACAUCCAAUGAAAACUACAAUAAACAUCUUCAAUGUGAGUAUACAUUUAACCUCAAUGAAAAACAUAAUAAUGUGUUAAUCUUAUUUAUUUACCCAGUAUUAUACGGAAUUAGAACUAUUUGUUCCAAGGUAGCCGCUUCUAACUGGUUGGGCAAAAUUUCUGGAUCGGAGAUCACGAUCCUUGAUAUGUGAUGUUAUUUUUGCUUGGUCAUAACAAAAAACUUGCUUCCACAAUCACAUUCAUCCAAAGAUAUCUAAGUAAAAGCAACCUUAGUUAAAAAGGAACAAAAUAACUAUAGCUAUAGUAUUGGACAUAAAGAUGAGUAAAAGAUGUUUACUUACGUAAUGUAUGCUAGGAUGCACAUAUAGCCUAUUUCUAUCAUGCUGCAAUAAUGGAGCAAGUCCUAACGAGCUAAAUAAAUGAAUUUGUUUUUACCGAAUAUUAGCUCGUUCAUUAGGAUGCGAACCAUAUCUACAUCCUUCAUAUUGUUCACGACAUGUCCAUAUAAGAGCUUAAUGGUUCCAUUAACAUUUAUGUAAUUUGAAGAAUACAGAACAUCCUUUGGGUUGAAUGCUCCAAGCACAAACAAAAUAAUAUCAAAACCUAAAAUACAAUCACAAAUAAAUAUCAAAGCUUCAAUAGCACAUAAACAAGUCAACGAGGUCAUUCAACAAUAUUAUGAACGCACACACACGAACACACGCAUGAACGCACACACACAUUCACACAUGCACAUGUUGGAAUUUUUUGUCCUAAAACUCGUAGUUUGUAAAUCAUAUUCUAUUCAAUAAAGUUGUUAUUGAGAAAUUAAAUAUUAUAAUCUUAAAUCCAAUAAAUCAAAGUUCCAAGGCUAUUUUUUGAAUAAACUUGAACUUUAUGUGUAAACAUAAACGUGGAUCAAGUUCGAGUAUAUAGCCUAAAUAGUCUAUAGUAUAUGAAAUAAAGGUUGGGCGCCUUAUUUUGAGAGACUAUGGAUGCGGCCCACUUUGUAGUACAAACGAUGUGAUCCUAAUCGUUCAUGUAGAGACAUGAAAGUGGGGGCAUCCUAUGUAAAAUGUUUACAUAAGACUGAACCAUGAAUUAGUCAUUUUUACGUUAUAACACCGUUUACUGUUUAAAACUGACUAUCUCAAUUAUUGAUGACCUAGGUAACUUAGUCUUAAUCCUGAGUUAACUAUGAACUCCUGUUCAUACGAGAUUAUCCUUAGAUCUGCAUAGGUGAGGGCAGCUCAUCAGCGUUGGCCCAAUAAGCCUCCCAUUUCAGGGGUAAGAUCGGGUGGAUAGCUGGGAACAUAGGGUACAAGAUGGAAUUCACUCCUACCCGCUUUAGGGUUAGUAGAUAGGUUGCUCUCUUAAGCACUAAAUCCAAGUCUUGAACAAGGGGCCCCACCCUCUCAUUGGCCCGAGAGGGAUUAAGUUUAUAGGUUGAACCUUAAACCAAUUGUUCAAUAGUGGAUUAGUGGGACUUAAGGAGCAAGAUGUAAUCUUGGGGGUAAAACGGUAUUUUGACCCAGCCAAGGUUACGAGCAACCUAUGAAGGAUUAACUUACUGAUUAUGGUUUUAUCAAAUGGACACAAAUAUAUCUAUAGUGAGGGGAGUGCAACUACGGGACUUUAGUGGAAUGACCCGUUAGUUAACGAAUGUUGAUUAACUCGGUUUAAAAGAGUUUAGCUAGUUAAUCUUGAAUCGUUGGAGCCCAUGAUCUAUAGGUCCAUUAGGUUCCUCUGCUAGCUCAUAUGGAUUAAACUUAGAACAGUGUGAUGAAAUAAGUCGAAUUGUUCGAAUUGGGAGAAGAAAGGAAAACCGACAUAUACAGUGAUAUAAUCGUCGAUCUUCUAAUUAGAAAUAGAGCUUUAUGUUUUACAUACUAUAAGUAUGAAUGCGGAUUCAUACUAAGAAGCUCGGAAUUGGUCAAAAAUAGUAAAAAGUCAAAAUGUUGACUUUUGACUUUGAAAAGUCAAACUUUGACCGGCCUUAUAUUCAAAUGUGAUUUGAAUUUUGGAAAAAUGAAUGCGGAUUCAUGCUCGGGAGGUUGGAAUUAGUCAAGACGGACAAAAUGGUAAAAAGUCAAAAUAUUGACUUUUGACUUAGAAAAGUCAAAGUUUGACUUUUGACUAGAAAAAUCUAAUGACCAUUUUACCCUUGGACUAAGUUAGUGGGAAAAUCCAACAUUUUGUUGGAUAAUCCCACUAACUCUUAGUGGGAUAUGUGGCUAUAUGAGAUAUAGACACCUAGCCCACUAAGUUCCACUAAUUGUUAGUGGAAUAUUAGGUGUUGAGAUUUGGCAAUUGAAUUGCAUGCAUUUUUGCAUGUAAUUAGGCUAUAAAUAGAGAUGUUUUCAAAUGUUGAAGGACUUUUGCCUCUUUUAUCAUUUUCAUAAUCUCAACAAAAGAAAAAAGAAAGCUUCCAAUCUCAUUUUAUCUCCAUUACUUUCUACACCAAAAUUGGGUCCCACAACCCGGUUCUUUGUCUAGAGGAUAGCAGUUGAGUACUAGUGGUGGUCUCGGGUAGAAUUGGUAAGAAGACAUCAAACCUUUUGAAAGCUUCAAAGGUAAUACUUCUUAAAACCCUAAUUUGAUUAGUUUAUGGUUACAUGUUAAUUGUGGCAAUUAGGGUAGAAAUUCGAUUCUUUUUCCGCUGUGCAUGACUUAGUUCUAUCAUGUGGUAUCAGAGCAUGCUUCAUUUUUACCCAAUUGCAUGUGGUGGGUUCAUAUUUAUUAGAUAAAUUUUGGUUUGAACUAAAAUGGAUAUAUUAUGAUUUUGGCUCUAGAUUAAGUGUUUUUGUUCUAAUUAUUGUAAUUAGCCUUGUUAAUGGCUUAUUUUUAUUGUUGCAAAGUGUUUGUAAUUUUUUUAAAAAAUAAAAAAAAGUCAUUAGAGUUGAAGCUAGGCUGUAAUUGGUUCAACCGGGUGAGAGAAUUGAAAAAAAUGAAGAAAAGAAGGUCACAGACCCGAAAACCCGGUUUUGACCCGCUUCGCGACCCGCACGCGCCCGCAUGCCCGCGCGCCCUUUGCGCCGCGCGCCCUCCUGCGUCCGCACGCGCCGCGCGCCCGCGCGCCCUCCUGCGCCGCGCGCCCUCCUGCGCCGCGCGCCCUCCUGCGCCGCGCGCCCGCAUGUGUCCGCGCGCCCGCAUGCGCCCGCACGCCCGCCUUCGCCCGCGCGCCUGCCUUCGCACGACCCGUGUGCGCCUGGGCCGGUUCAAGCCAAUAAAUUUGGUUUUUGGGCCGGUUCAAGCGGUUCGGUUGGUUUUUUAGUCGGUUCGAAAUUUUUGGGAGUGGUUCUGUACUACACCAAAUUAAUUAUGUAAUAAUUUAGCACUUAGCUUAAUUUAGGAGCCAAAAAUCAGUCCAUUUUAGGGUGUUUUUUUUAUUUAUGCAUGUGAUGUAUGAUUAAAUUACUUUAAAUUUGUAUGUGCAUUUUGAAUGUCAUAUAGAUUUAAAAUCCCACCAUAGGUUAACAUGUUCAUGCAUUAAAAUGUAUGAUAUAAAGGUUAUAUUGUAUUGUAUGCAUGUUAAUUGAUUAAUAUGGAAAUUAAUUAAUAUGAUUAAUUAAUUAUUUAAUUAAUUAAGUUAUUCUUGAUUAAAUAUGAUUUAAUCAAAUUAAUUAAUUAUUGUUUGAUUUAAUUUAAUUAAAUAUGAUUUAAUUAAAGUUAAAUAAAUUAAAAUCCAUAUUAAUUGAUUGUUUUUAUUAUAUAUUGAUAAAAUGAUUGAUUAAGUUUAAAAGUUUUUAUAAGUGUUAUAAAAUAAAUUAGACUUUUAAAAUCAAUAACAAAGAUUAAAUGCAUGCUCACUUAGGUUAAACAUAUCUUCCAUUUUUCAUAGAAAUAGGUCGAUAUCUUGUAAAACUGGUUACAAAAGGCUCACCUGGUUCAAUCUUGUCAACAAGUCAGAUAAGAUGACUAAGGUUGGAGGUUCUUAAGUUGACGGUUUACGGAACACCUCCUACCUGGAGAUCGUAAUCAGUUCUUGAGCCUAGUUAACCUAGUUUUAUGAGCAUUCGUGAGAGGUGUGAGGUAAUAAAAAUGGUUUUUCACCUAGACAUCAUAGGUUAAAAUCCUGUAUAAUGGUUAUACUUGGAUGUUUUAUCUAGACUUAAGAUUUGUUUAAGUUAGCCUAAAUAUAAAUCUUGAAGUUUGGAUUACCCUAUUUUUUUCUUUUAGAACACUUCAACUAGAGAAAAAUAAUGUAUUUUAGCUCUAGUGUCCCUAAGAGUUCACACCGUGAGGUCCAUGCAGGGCUUUGUGCCGUGCAUAGGAGCGGCCUCCCUUCGGAGAGUGUUUGCAUGGAUCAAAAUCAAGGUGAAUAGGGGAAGUAGUUCAUAGUAAGUGGGUGAGGGAUUUGUGGCAGCACAUCCCACGGUCUCUUCCAUUAGGUCGCACCGUGAGAUUUCUAUAAUAUGCCUGCUUGUCUGCCCUGGAGCGACGUUCCCUUCGGAGGGUUGUAUUAUAGGAUUCGGAACACCGCGAACUCCAAAACUGGAUAGGAUUUCUUAGAUUAGUUUUCAUAAAUGAUUCUAAUCUAUAAAAUCUGAAAAUGGUGGGUAACACUUACAAGAAUUACUAAGUUGUUAGUAUAUUCUUGACUAAAGUAGCGAUAACUAAGUGCUAUAAAGAAUAAAGAGUUAUUCUUGAGAUAGCAUCUAGUCAAGAUUGUCUUGGUUCAAAGGAGGAAUAAUCAACUACCCUUCGGAGAAGGUUGUUCUAAACCUUUGAAAUAUUGUUGCAAAAUACAAAUAAUGAAAGGGUACAUUAUUAGUAAUUGCUAAAUUAGAUUGGAUAUUUUUUAUGAUUAUAGUUUUUUCUUAAAAAGAAUAUGUUUGUUUUUCAGCAUGAAUAGCUCAAUAGUUCAACUUUUAGCUUCCGAAAAACUUAAUGGCGAUAAUUAUGCGGCUUGGAAAUCAAAUCUUAACACAAUACUAGUGGUUGACGAUUUAAGAUUUGUCUUAACUGAGGAAUGUCCUCAAAACCCUGCCUCUAAUGCUAACCGAACUAGUCGGGAUGCAUAUGAUCGAUGGAUAAAAGCUAAUGAAAAAGCCCGUGUUUACAUUCUUGCCAGCAUGUCUGAUGUAUUGGCAAAGAAACAUGAAUCCUUAGCCACGGCUAAAGAGAUUAUGGAUUCAUUAAGGGGAAUGUUUGGGCAACCAGAAUGGUCCUUAAGACACGAGGCAGUCAAAUACAUUUACACUAAGCGUAUGAAGGAAGGGACCUCUGUUAGAGAACAUGUUCUGGACAUGAUGAUGCACUUCAACAUCGCUGAAGUGAAUGGUGGUCCCAUCGAAGAGGUUAAUCAAGUUAGUUUUAUCUUAGAGUCUCUUCCGAAGAGCUUCAUUCCAUUCCAAACGAAUGCGUCUUUGAACAAGAUAGAAUUUAACUUGACAACCCUUCUGAAUGAACUCCAGCGAUUCCAAAACCUAACUAUGGGUAAAGGAAAACAAGUGGAAGCAAAUGUUGCUACCACAAAAAGAAAAUUUAUAAGAGGAUCGUCCUCUAAAACCAAAGCUGGACCCUCAAAACCUAAUGCUCAAAUAAAAAAGAAGGGAAAGGGAAAGACUCCCAAACAGAACAAGGGUAAGAAAGCUGCAGAAAAAGGUAAGUGUUACCAUUGUGGCCAAAACGGGCACUGGUUAAGAAACUGCCCAAAAUACCUUGCAGAAAAAAAGGCAGAGAAGGAAACACAAGGUAAAUAUGAUUUACUAGUUGUAGAAACAUGUUUAGUGGAAUAUGAAAAUUCUACCUGGAUACUAGAUUCAGGAGCCACUAACCAUAUUUGCUUCUCAUUUCAGGAAAAUAGUUCUUGAAAAAGCUUUCAGAAGGUGAGAUCACUCUCAAGGUUGGAACAGGAGAGAUGGUCUCAGCUUCAGCAGUGGGAGUUUUAAAGUUGUUUUUUAGAGAUAGAUAUGUCAUACUUAAGAAUGUCUUAUAUGUACCUCAAAUGAAAAGAAAUUUAAUAUCUAUCUCUUGUAUUUUGGAACAAAUGUAUAGAAUAUCUUUUGAAAUUAAUGAAGCGUUCGUUUUCUAUAAAGGUAUUCUAGUUUGUUCUGCUAUACUUGAAGACAACUUAUAUAAGUUAAGACCAACUAGAGCAAAUUUUGUCUUAAAUACUGAAAUAUUCAGAACAGCUGAAACUCAGAAUAAAAGACAAAAAGUUUCUUCUAAUGCCUAUUUAUGGCACUUAAGACUUGGUCACAUAAAUCUCAAUAGGAUUGGGAGAUUGGUUAAAAGUGGGCUUCUAAGUCCGUUAGAAGAUAACUCUUUACCUCCUUGUGAAUCUUGUCUUGAAGGAAAAAUGACCAAGAGAUCUUUUACUGGAAAAGGUCUAAGAGCCAAAGGACCCUUAGAGCUCGUACAUUCGGACCUUUGUGGACCAAUGAAUGUCAAAACUCGAGGUGGAUAUGAAUAUUUCAUUAGCUUCAUUGAUGAUUAUUCAAGGUAUGGUCAUAUUUACCUAAUACAUCAUAAGUCUAAUAGUCUUGAAAAGUUCAAAGAAUAUAAGGCUGAAGUAGAAAACGAAUUAGGUAAAACAAUAAAAAUACUUCGAUCAGAUCGAGGUGGAGAGUAUAUGGACUUACGAUUCCGAGACUAUUUAAUAGAAAAUGGAAUCCAGUCACAACUCUCUGCACCUAGUACACCUCAACAGAACGGUGUAUCAGAAAGAAGAAACUGGACCUUGUUAGACAUGGUUCGCUCUAUGAUGAGUUUUUCUCAGAUGUCAGAUUCUUUUUGGGGAUAUGCUUUAGAAACAGCUGCUUAUAUUUUGAAUAAUGUUCCCUCUAAAAGUGUUUCAGAAACACCUUAUGAGCUAUGGAAAGGGCGUAAAGGCAGUUUACGUCAUUUUAAAAUUUGGGGUUGUCCAGCACAUGUGUUGGUACAAAAUCCAAAGAAAUUGGAACAUCGUUCAAAAUUAUGCUUUUUUAUAGGUUAUCCAAAAGAAUCAAGAGGUGGUUUGUUUUAUGAUCCUCAAGAAAAUAAAAUACCACAUCAGGGAUCAUCAACCUUGUAGUAAACUAGUAUUUAAAGAAAUUUCCAAAAGUGCUAUAGAUAAAACCUAGUUCAUCCACUAAAGUAGUUGAUAAGACUAGGAAAUCUGGUCAAUCACAUCCUUCUCAACAGUUGAGAGAGCCUCGACGUAGUGGGAGGGUUGUUCAUCAGCCUGAUCGCUAUUUGGGUUUAAUUGAAACUCAAGUCGUCAUACCUGACGAUGGCAUAGAGGAUCCAUUAACCUAUAAACAGGCAAUGAAAGAUGUAGAUCGUGACCAAUGGAUCAAAGCCAUGGACCUCGAAAUGGAGUCUAUGUACUUUAAUUCUUUCUAGACUCUAGUAGAUCAACCAAAUGACGUAAAACCUAUUGGUUGUAAAUGGAUCUACAAGAGAAAACGAGACCAUGCCGGUAAAGUACAGACUUUUAAGGCUCGACUUGUGGCAAAGGGUUAUACCUAGAGAGAGGGAGUAGACUAGAGGAAACUUUCUCUCCCGUUGCCAUGUUAAAGUCAAUUAGAAUACUCUUAUCCAUCGCCACUUUUUAUGAUUAUGAAAUUUGGCAGAUGGAUGUCAAGACAGCUUUUUUGAACGGUAAUCUUGAAGAGAGCAUCUAUAUGUCUCAACCAGAGGGGUUUAUAAAACAAGAUCAAGAACAAAAGGUUUGUAAGCUUAAAAAAUCCAUUUAUGGAUUAAAACAAGCUUCUAGAUCCUGGAAUAUAAGAUUUGAUAUUGCGAUCAAAAUCUUAUGGCUUUGAACAAAAUGUUGACGAGCCUUGUGUUUACAAAAGGUCGUCAAUUCCAUUAUAGCAUUUUUUAGUCUUAUAUGUAGAUGAUAUUCUACUUAUUGGAAAUGACGUAGGAUAUCUUACUGAUAUCAAGAAAUGGCUAGCUAUGCAAUUUCAAAUGAAAGAUCUGGGAGAUGCACAAUACGUUCUCGGAAUCCAAAUUGUUCGAAACCGUAAGAACAAAACACUAGCCAUGUCUCAAGCAUCUUACAUAGACAAAAUGUUGUCUAGAUAUAAAAUGCAGAAUUCCAAAAAGGGUCUGCUGCCGUACAGAUAUGGAAUUCAUUUGUCAAAGGAACAAUGUCCUAAGACACCUCAAGAAGUUGAGGAUAUGAGAAAUAUUCCCUAUGCUUCCGCUGUUGGAAGUUUAAUGUAUUCAAUGUUAUGUACUAGACCUGACAUUUGCUACUCAGUAGGGAUGGUCAGUAGGUAUCAAUCCAAUCAUGGACGUGAUCACUGGACAGCCGUUAAAAACAUUCUACAUGCUCAUGUAUCGUACAAAGGAUAUGAUCCUUACUGGAUACACUGAUUCGGAUUUCCAAACUAAUAAAGAUGUUAGAAAGUCUACAUCAGAAUCAGUAUUUACUCUAAAUGGAGGAGCAGUAGUUUGGAGAAGCAUAAAGCAAACUUGUAUAGCUGAUUCCACAAUGGAAGCUGAUCAUUUUACAAAAGCCCUCACGGCUAAAGUGUUUGAGGGUCACCUACACAGUUUAGGUGUACGAUGUUUGUAAACUAGGACAAGUGGGAGACUUAUUGGCCAUGUUUCAUAUAUAUUCUCUCACACCACAUCUCUCAUACCACUAGGAAUUUUAGUCCAAGUGGGAGUUUGUUGGAAUUUUUUGUCCUAAAACUCGUAGUUUGUAAAUCAUAUUCUAUUCAAUAAAGUUGUUAUUGAGAAAUUAAAUAUUAUAAUCUUAAAUCCAAUAAAUCAAAGUUCCAAGGCUAUUUUUUGAAUAAACUUGAACUUUAUGUGUAAACAUAAACGUGGAUCAAGUUCGAGUAUAUAGCCUAAAUAGUCUAUAGUAUAUGAAAUAAAGGUUGGGCGCCUUAUUUUGAGAGACUAUGGAUGCGGCCCACUUUGUAGUACAAACGAUGUGAUCCUAAUCGUUCAUGUAGAGACAUGAAAGUGGGGGCAUCCUAUGUAAAAUGUUUACAUAAGACUGAACCAUGAAUUAGUCAUUUUUACGUUAUAACAUCGUUUACUGUUUAAAACUGACUAUCUCAAUUAUUGAUGACCUAGGUAACUUAGUCUUAAUCCUGAGUUAACUAUGAACUCCUGUUCAUACGAGAUUAUCCUUAGAUCUGCAUAGGUGAGGGCAGCUCAUCAGCGUUGGCCCAAUAAGCCUCCCAUUUCAGGGGUAAGAUCGGGUGGAUAGCUGGGAACAUAGGGUACAAGAUGGAAUUCACUCCUACCCGCUUUAGGGUUAGUAGAUAGGUUGCUCUCUUAAGCACUAAAUCCAAGUCUUGAACAAGGGGCCCCACCCUCUCAUUGGCCCGAGAGGGAUUAAGUUUAUAGGUUGAACCUUAAACCAAUUGUUCAAUAGUGGAUUAGUGGGACUUAAGGAGCAAGAUGUAAUCUUGGGGGUAAAACGGUAUUUUGACCCAGCCAAGGUUACGAGCAACCUGUGAAGGAUUAACUUACUGAUUAUGGUUUUAUCAAAUGGACACAAAUAUAUCUAUAGUGAGGGGAGUGCAACUACGGGACUUUAGUGGAAUGACCCGUUAGUUAACGAAUGUUGAUUAACUCGGUUUAAAAGAGUUUAGCUAGUUAAUCUUGAAUCGUUGGAGCCCAUGAUCUAUAGGUCCAUUAGGUUCCUCUGCUAGCUCAUAUGGAUUAAACUUAGAACAGUGUGAUGAAAUAAGUCGAAUUGUUCGAAUUGGGAGAAGAAAGGAAAACCGACAUAUACAGUGAUAUAAUCGUCGAUCUUCUAAUUAGAAAUAGAGCUUUAUGUUUUACAUACUAUAAGUAUGAAUGCGGAUUCAUACUAAGAAGCUCGAAAUUGGUCAAAAAUAGUAAAAAGUCAAAAUGUUGACUUUUGACUUUGAAAAGUCAAACUUUGACCGGCCUUAUAUUCAAAUGUGAUUUGAAUUUUGGAAAAAUGAAUGCGGAUUCAUGCUCGGGAGGUUGGAAUUAGUCAAGACGGACAAAAUGGUAAAAAGUCAAAAUAUUGACUUUUGACUUAGAAAAGUCAAAGUUUGACUUUUGACUAGAAAAAUCUAAUGACCAUUUUACCCUUGGACUAAGUUAGUGGGAAAAUCCAACAUUUUGUUGGAUAAUCCCACUAACUCUUAGUGGGAUAUGUGGCUAUAUGAGAUAUAGACACCUAGCCCACUAAGUUCCACUAAUUGUUAGUGGAAUAUUAGGUGUUGAGAUUUGGCAAUUGAAUUGCAUGCAUUUUUGCAUGUAAUUAGGCUAUAAAUAGAGAUGUUUUCAAAUGUUGAAGGACUUUUGCCUCUUUUAUCAUUUUCAUAAUCUCAACAAAAGAAAAAAGAAAGCUUCCAAUCUCAUUUUAUCUCCAUUACUUUCUACACCAAAAUUGGGUCCCACAACCCGGUUCUUUGUCUAGAGGAUAGCAGUUGAGUACUAGUGGUGGUCUCGGGUAGAAUUGGUAAGAAGACAUCAAACCUUUUGAAAGCUUCAAAGGUAAUACUUCUUAAAACCCUAAUUUGAUUAGUUUAUAGUUACAUGUUAAUUGUGGCAAUUAGGGUAGAAAUUCGAUUCUUUUUCCGCUGUGCAUGACUUAGUUCUAUCAGCACACACACAUCUACACACACAUGCACACACGCAUACACGCACACACACAUACGCACACACACAUCAACUCACACGGGCAAACGCGCACUCGCACAUAUGCACACACACGCACACACGUACAUAUGCACAAAGAUGUGAAAAUGAAUUAAAUUUAAAAAACAAUUACAUUAAUUGUGUUUAGAAUGACUUUUAAACUAUAUUCAUUUAACUUAAUAACAUUAAUUAAAUUAUAAUUUCUAUUAAUAUUGAUUUAAGAGUGUCAUUACUGUAAUUAUAUCAAUAUAAUGCGGUCUUAUCCAAUUUUACCAACAAAAAACAAGUCAAAUAUGGACUAGUAAAUCCACACUCUUUGUCAUAAGAGAUAUAAUAACGUUUUUAUGGGUCAUUUUAAAAAAAAUGACAAAACAACUUUUUCUUUUGAAUUUUAGCAAAUAGCAUUUUUUAUUUGAAAAAGAUACAUCAACCCAUAAUAACACUACAACAAAUCUGGGUUUGUAGUGUCAGGUGAAAAAAAUGAAAAAUUAUCUUUAUUGUCGUUUUUGAAAAGGUGGAUCAAACCGACAUUAAUGAUAAGGGUUUAAUGUCGUUUUUAAAUCGACAUUAAUGAUCAGCCAGUUUUAUUUUUUUAAUUUUUUGUAUUUUGUAAAAAAGGACAUUAAUUACCCCCCAUUUUUAAUUUCUUUUUAAAAAAUUGUUAGGUUUUAAAAACUAAAUUUUUCAUCUCUUUCUUACUCUACUCUUUCCCUAUCAAUUUUUCUUUUCUUUCUCUCCAAGUUGGUUUCUAAUUUUGUUCUCUUCUCAAUCUGUGACCCUAGAUCGCGAACGGCAACCAAUCUUCAUCGUGCUUCCGCCGCAAAAAUCCUUGGGUUUCUUCAUUUGAUUGUUAACUUGUGACUGCUAGGUAGCAUUAUUGAUUAUUAAUUGUCUUUAUUUUUUCAAAUGUGCAGCCUUAUUCAUACUACCUUUUGUUAGAAAAAUGAAAGAAGAGAAGGCAUAGAAAUGAGCUUGGUAACUAGCAUUCUUGUAGGUGGAUUUGCCAAAAUGGAAAAUGUAGAGUAAGUAAUUUUGGUAUAGCUAUUUGGAGUGUUAUGUGAAGCACAAUAUCUUCAUAAUGUGAUGCGUUUUGGUUUUCGAUUGAGAUCAAUCUUGGUAAUUAAUUGUUUUGAAUUGUGUUUUAUUUUAUCUUUUAGUAGUAAAUGUUUUUGUUUUCUUUAGUUUAGUUUGAGUAUUAGUCUGUUUUGAUAUAUUUGUAGGUUGCAUCUAUUUAUCCAUAUAUUUAUCUUUGAUCAAUACCUAGCUAGUGGAGUCUCUUCUUUUUAUGGGCUUCCUUAUAUUCCAUGUUCUUUUACUAUAUAUUUGAGAUUUUCACCUUCCAUAAAUGAAAUAAAUUAACUAUUUUCAUUUGAAAAGAAAAACGAUCCAAUAGGAGUUUGUAAGAUUAUUUAUCAUCUCCAUUGUUUAACUUUCUCUAUAAAAACAAUGUUGCUAUUGAUGGGUAAAUUUAUACAAUUAAGAGUAAGAAGCCUAUAGACUAGCAUUGCUAAAUUGAACAUUCAAAAUUUGCUUUGAAGUAAGAGUCGAGGAUGGUAUAAUUAUUCUUUAGUUGUAUUCCUCUUUUUCUUAUAGAUCUUUGAAGAACCAAAUUAGGUUAUUUUCUUCUUCUUAAUGAGUUGUUUGAUCAAAGCUUAUUUUCUUCUUUAUUUUUGCAGCACUUUUGGGUUGCCAUUUCAAUUGUCUUCUUUGUUGCUGCUACAUUAUUUACUCUACUGAAACUUUGUGGUAAUUUUUAAUUUUCCACAUUUAGAUUGCAGUCUGUUUAGUUUGAUUUUAAAUAAUAUGUACUAAUUUUGCAAAUUCUAGAUUUAAUCUUCCCCAGGUUGUAAAGUAUAUUUUGGUCUUAGAUAGCCAGCCAAGACCAAUCUGACGGUGGAGAAUUUUCUUUGGAAGACUUGGGUUUCCGAGGGGUCUGCCGCCCUUGAUUUCGGCACCGUUAAGGCUAGAAGAAGAAGAAAGUGGUGGAUCGACGAGAUGGGUAUGUCGCAACAUAGAGUUUCUUGGCUGCUUCACGUUAGAGAGGAAGAGCGAAAUUUUGGAGGUAUAGGAAGAGCGAAACGGAAUUUGAGAGAUAGGAAAUCGCAGGGUUUGAGGAAGACGAAGAAGAGAAGGGGAGAUGAGAGGCAGAGUAAACCGAUCGAGAAGAAAAAGGGGAAAGAAAUUUGAAAUAAAAGAGACCGUUGAGGUUGAAGAAGAGGGGAAAGAAAAUUGACCGUGGAGGAGAAGCUUUUUUCGUUUAUUUGAUUUUUGUAUUAAAUAUUUUCUAUGAAAAUUAAAAAAGAAAAAGUUAAAAGGCAAAUAUUUUCUACUUUUUUUUUAUUUAUUCUAUGAAAACUCAAUAAUAAAAAAGCAUCUAUAUUUGCUUUUGGUAUGGUUCACAUUUUUAUUUAUUUGACAAAAAUCUAACUAAAUUAUCAUUCAUUUUGACCUAAUAUUGCAAAUAUAAAUUUAUAUUUUGCAUCUUAACUACUCUUUGGCAUUUAUAAUAUCAUUGUUUCACACCUCAAUUUUUUUAUUGUUGUCAAAAAUAAACUUAAUCCAAAAUGAAUUAGCAAAUUAGGGAAUAAAUGUAAUCAUUGUUUUUGGGAGUUUGAGUUCGACCGUGAUUAUUGUUGAAUAAUUUUCACUUAGACAUGGACAUUUUGCUAUUUUAGCAAUUUAAAUUUAAAAUUUUCUUUUAUCAAAAGUAAACCUCUUGUUUUAAUGUUUUUCUGGUCAUCCCUUUUAAAUACAACUAAUGACAAAUGAAUAUAACAAUUAAGAAAUUCGUAGAUAUAUAACAACAUUUUAAACUAAUUGCUGCAGUUAUUUUAAAUCACAUAUGUCAUUCGCUUAUAAGCCAUAAGAGUCUAUUAACGAUAUAAAUCUAUCACAAAUAUAUUUUGCUACAUUUACAAUUUUUAAAAGAUAUUGUUAUAUACUUAAUUAUUAUUCAUAAAAUUACUAAUCCAUUAUACUUACCCUAAGUUAAAUGAAUAAUGUCAAAAGUAAGUUUACUACGAAGGUAAUUUGUGUGACCCUUUUAUCCUAACGUAGGAAGUUUGUUCCACUCCAUACCAUUAUUGAACUAAGAAGAUUAAGUGUGUAUUAGUAUGUUUAAACAAGUAUAAUUAUAGCAAAUUCUAUGAGUGAUAUAUUUAUAUUAGCAAUACAAUAUGUGUUACAUAUGCAAAUAUUUUGUAUCUAAUCGUUGUAUUUGCAAUUAACUCCAUUCAAAUAUACAAAUAUAAACAUAACUCUUUAACCUGAGUUUAGCUAGGAUCACAAACUACAAAAAGAAAGUAUGGAAUAUAUUUAAUUUGUUUUUUUUUCUUUGAAGAAAAUUUGGUGUGUAGCACAUUAUAUAUUUUUCUUUCCAUUAAAAAACAGUAUUGAUCUUAUAAUAUACGGCCUUGCACAAUGUAUUCACCAUAAAGAUCAUAUAAUUGUAGAGAUGUAUAGAAGGUCUGAUAAACAACAUAAACGAAAAGUUCUAAUCCUUGAAAUUGUAAACAUUACCCAUAUCCUACAAUAAAAGUCACAUCAACUUGAUAUUUGUUGAAAUUUAACAAAAAUGAAAAGAAAGCAACGACAAACCAAUGACGAUGGAAGAAGAUACAGUUUUCAAACACAACCAGCUAUCCAAAUUAUUCAUAAUAUGGUAUUAGAAAAUAUAUUGCAAUUUGUAACCUCAUAAGUUUAUAAACAGAGUAAAAAUUAAAGGAAAUUUUUUUAUCAAGCUUAUAUUAGGACUUUAUACUACUUAUAUGUAAUUCUUAAGUUUUCUUCUUUUAGCUAUAAAAGACACAAAUUAAGAAAAAAAAUGACUUGAUUGUCCAUGUAAAGUUAUGCCCCAACUUUUUUCUUCUAACUUAAGAAAAGGAACACCAACAAAUAUCUAUCCCCAUAAACUAAAAAGCAUAGGAAAAUGAUAGUAAAAGUAAAAUCAUCUUUUUCUGUUAUCUUUUUCCUUCAUUCAUUUACUUCUAAUUGAAAAUAAAUCAAAAGUCUAAAACCGAUCAAAUUAUUGAAAACAAAAAAACAAGAAACAUAACAGUGUGGAGAGGUAGUUAUUAUCAAGUAUUUGAUUUUGUUUAAUAGAUUCCAGUUGUGACAACCACAACAAUUGUAUGCAUGAAGUUCAUCAUUCAAACAGAUUCUGACAACAAAUUUCAACACAUCUGCAAGGCGAAAGAAGAUAGGAAUUAGGAUAACAAGGUAAUUAGAACACUGAAAUAAAUUUUAAAAAUAAUUUUAUUGCCGAUUGCUACUAUAAGCAUAAUUAUCUGCUUGUAUAGUUGUCUUGCAUGAUCUGACAAAUACAUUAUGGUAUUUGAUAUUCCAUUCAGGUUGUAUCUUGCAUGUUACCAACAAAAUCAUGUGCUUAGUGAUAAAUUACUCUUAGACUGAGAAAUACUCGAAAAAAAAUCAAGAGUAACAACUCUUAGUUUCCCAGAAAAAUUGAAACAAAAUCAUGACAAACCAACAACAAGAACUUCAUAAACUUGUCUGAUGAAAGCAACUCAAGAACAGUCUCAAUGCAGAUCAUACAUGAGUUCUUUGCUAAAAUAUUUCCAAAGGCUAAAAAGAGUUAAGGAAAAAAAGAAAAACAAUAAUUACCUGUAAUUUUCGUUGGUUCAUGAUCUUCUCUUGUCAUUCCCUCACUUUAAUCUCAUAACUGAAAAGGAAAAGAGGAGGGAGGGGUGAUUAAACUCAUGCAUGUACAUAAUGUCGAAACCAGCAAAAUUACCACCCUAUUAACUAUGAAAGUCUGGUUGUGGUCGAAGUAGGGUGAAAGUCAGUGUAGAUUAGGAUAGAUGUCACCGUGAAGCUCACUGUCGGUUGGGGGAGAACAUAAAAAUUGACUUUUUUCUUUUAUAACAGGCUGGGGUGAACUGGCUGGCAAGGAGGAAGUGACAUGCUACCACUAGGUUGUGUUAGGUGUGAACAAUGGACAAUGGUGGCUAGAAGUGAGGGAAGGGCUUUGUCAAAGGGUCGUGCAGGGCUGAACUCCAACUGUCCAAUAUUAGUUUGUUCGGUUACUUUCUUUGUUUCACCCAUAUCAAUGUCUGCAAAAAUUCCCACAAUAUAUAGAAAUGGAAAUAAAGAUCCUUAAGUUCUUUGAGAAAAAUCAUAAAUAUAGCCACAAAAUUUCUCCAAUUAUUUGUUACUUAAAAAAGUAUAGAAAUUGUCAACCAAGCUCAACUAACGCCUGUAUGUAUGUACUUAGAACCAAGAGGUCUCGGGUUUAAAUCCCUCUACCCAAAAUUUGUCCUAAAUCUCAACUUUUUUACAAUCAAUCCUAAAACUCUUUUUCUACCCCAUUUGGCCUAAAUCUCAAAAUUUGUCCUAAAUCUCAAUUUUUUAUACUAUUAUAGUUGUAGAAUAAAAAAUUUUAGAUCAAUCACGCAUUAUCGUUGAAUUCAAGACUAAUUAAAAAUUGACAUGUGUCCCAAAUUAAAAUUGAAAAAAAAUAUAAAUUUGUUAAUUUGGAUGAUACACAUGUUUGGAUCAAAUUAAUUAUUUUAGUUUAAUUAAUAUUAUUUACUCGGUUAAGACUAAAAUUCAAUCGAGCCAAAAAAAUAAAUUUAAUUUAGCUCUGGUCCAUAAAUCAACCAGACUCAAGUUCAUAAAAGCCACUAAAGAACUCUAUAGAUACUGGAGUUCCCUUCAUUUGAAGAUACAAACUUUCUUUCAAGACUCCAACUUCAAGAACGUCACGUGCUCUGCUUCCUCAAAUCAAGCAUAAGCAUCUAAGUGAGAGAGAAUCAGGAGAUCAAAUGACUCAUUGCAUCAAAUCAACAUAAAUACAUUAUUAAUACAAGUUGGAGUUCACAAAUUAAAUUUCUCUAUAAAGAUCUCGUGUAAACCACAGUGAACCAAGAAGUGAUUAUAAACUGAAUAUUUCAUUAAUAAAUUCAAUCAAAUAAAAUGAAAUACAGGAAAAUUACAACUCUAUUGAACUUGAGAUGAAUCCUCAAAAUUCUAAGUCUUUUCCUUGGACGAAUUCUCUAAUCGUCCGUCAACACACACUUUUGUGGGAUGAGAAAUUUUAGAGCUACUAUGCCUCCCUCAUAGGAACUUUUGUACUUAAGAUUAGCUACUGACUUGGAAUGUUGCGGAAGACCUAUGGAGUUGUUGUAAAAUGGCAGAAAUUGUGAGAAGAUGGUGAUGAAUUUGACUAUAGUUAGUUGUUCCCCGAAAUGGAAGACUUGCUAUAUAAUGUAUUAAUUGACUGUCUCGUUGUUGCUGUCCAUUGUUAUUUUGAUAAAAGGUUUGCAGAUGUAAAUAAUUUGUAAAUUUAUAGAUCUAAGAAUGUUAUCAUACACUUCAUAUUAGAUAAUAAAAAUCACUUGACAAUUUCUCAAACACCACACCGUCUACCGCCUCAAAGUUGAGUUAUUGAUCAUGGUCAAGACAAAGAAAAUAAGGAUUGAGACCACACUUGCGAAGAAGAAAAAUGUUGAGAGGAGAAAAAGAUCAUGCAUGCAAAUGGAAAAAAAAAAAAGAGAAAGUAGGAACUUUGUUUAGGUUCAUCAAGAAGAUAAAUGGAUAUAAAGAAAUAACCAAAAUCAUAACUUGAAUUCUUUCUCAUAUUUGCAAUAGUAGAAAUCUGGAAGACACAUUUGCAAAAUAUCUCAACUUAUUUUGCUACCUAUUACAAUAUUCCUAAACUUAUUGUAAAUGUACACAAUUUUGUAUCUGUGAUCAGUUUCAAGAAUCUCUCCCUAGAGAGAAUAAGUUGCAUCUUCUAAAAGUACUUGCUAUGGCUCAACAUCAACAUACUUUAGGAAACUUUUCAAUAGUUAUUUACAUAAAAGAAAACUAGAAGGUAAAAUAGUAAUGAAUUUCUCCAACUGAAUUUUGUUCGAGUUACAAUAGUUGUAUGUUUAUGCGCAUCUAUAUAUAUAAUGCAAUAAUGUAAGACAACAUGAGCAUAAUGUAAUAUGGAGAGCUGGAGGAUCAAAUAAAAAUAUAAGAAAAUCAGAUUAUUAUCUUUAUGAAAAAAUAAUUAGUACAACAAAAAACAAAAUUAGACUUUACUAAUUGCAGAUCAAAAAUUGCAUCCGCGACGCUGGCAAAUCAGAGUUGCAUGGGAGUUGAAUCCUUAACAAUCUCAUAUAAUGAUAUAAUGUUUUCAAUGCUCAAUAGGCCAAUGAUGCACCAUUCCAAGAGAUCUGAUUUCCUAUUCUGGAGGACUUCUUGAAGAAAAUGAAUGUUAUGCUGCAAGGAAGGUGCAAAUUUAUUAGAGAAGAAUUAAACACUGUUCUAUCUCAAGAAAUAUCAUUUCCAUAAAAGUAAAAGAACCUCCUUCCAGUGAGUAUGAUAUAAGUGGAAGAAUCUAGGUUAAAGAUUUAAAUAAGGAAAUCACAAUGAGAAUGUUGAUUAUUUUUUCCUUAGCUCGGCUUUUGGAAAAGGAACACACACCACUCCCUGAUUUCAUUUGCAUUAUUUUGGGUCAGCUUCAGAAUACACAAACUUCAGAUGGACAGCACAAACACUUGGAAACAAUUUAGCAGAACCAAUUUCUUAAAGAAACAUUCUAAACUAAUUAAAUAAAGAGAGUCCUCAAAACUUCACUCCUUGAAGAACUAUGAAUUGAUUCUCCUACAAUAGUAGCUAGCUUUUGAUAGGACCACGUCCCUUCACCACGGAUUAGAAUAUUGAUGUCAAUAUUUUAAUUUUUUUUAUUCUUCUUCUUUAAAAAAAAUAAACAUUUAAUUCUUGAACAUUGGGAUCUAAAUGUCCAGGGAUAAUAAUGCUCAUACCCACGAAAUAAUAUCCACCAUCCAAACUGUUAAAUAAAAAAAUUCUUUUCCUAAAAUUCUACCGAAGCAGUAGGAAAAGUUGUUAUGUAACUUUUUCUAAAUAAGUGAAGAAAGAGUGGACAAGAAUAUGAUAAAACCAAUAAAAUUAAUCAGAAGCUGCUAGUAUCCAUUUGAUUUAAUACGUUCCAAUCCUUGAAUUUAAAGCCUUGUACAUGUGUGAAUAUUAUGCAUUAACGAUUUAACGAUUUUAAAAUGAAAUAAGAAUGAAGGAUUUAAAUUCAUUCACUUGUGAAAGUUGAGAGAUUUAGUUAAUACAACAUUUAGUAUAAAUUGGUUUUCUUUCCCUUAAAAAGAAUACUAAAGAAAAUACGAAAGUUUUCACGAGGUUACACGUCCUCUCAACACAUUUUCCAUUGCAUAUAACCAAAAAUAGAUAAUAUUGCUUUCAAGUUGGCUAUUGCCACGAUAUUUAAGAAGAACGUUCAAGAGAAGAGGCUCAACUAUACGGAAAAAACCACUUUGAAGGAAUGAAUGGAAUAGAAUGAAAUUACCUCCACAAACUUCAAUUUGAAAUCUAGAUUCCCAAAGCGCUGGGUGACCUCGUACUCUUCCCGAAGGUACUCAUAUAUUUGAGCAUAUUUUGCAUCCCUCCACGCAAUUUCUGAUCUGAGUGGCAAAGGAAAAAGACAUAAAAGAGCACUAAGAUAACAAAAUUCUACCAAUUAAAGCAAUAUUAUGAUCGAAUUUUCUAUGCACGAAUAUUAAUAAUAAUAAGAAGGUAAGAAUGUAUAUAUUUUUGUUUACUUAUAUCAAGCUUGAAAGGCAAACUUUUCUAUGUUAUGAUCUUGGUUCUGUUAGGAUGUCAAAUACAUUUCUGAACAAUAGUAUUAUCCUGGCGCCAAGUACUGCGAAAACCACAUAAGACGUAAUCCAAGCUUUAAAGAGGCUCUAGAUAAAAUAAAAAGAAAAAUGUAUUUGAUAGGCCACUGAUUAUACAUCAGUAUGCUCGCAGGGGCAAAAAGGGCAAAGAAGUAGUUAUUAUUGAGUUGGGAGAAUCAUCCAACAGUAAGAAUGAUUAUCUUGGGUAGUUUUGGGCAUUUAUCUUGACUAGUUUCAGUCUUCAGGUGGUUAGUAGUUGGUUAUGAUCAAGGAAGUUAUGUUACCGUUGCUAUGUUAUGUGUUUAAAUAAGAAGUUAAGUUAGCAGAUGGGUAGACAGUCUUUUAGUUUGAAGUGUUUGGGUUUCUCUCGUGUGGGAAGAAUGGUCUAUGUAAUAGUAAAUUAUCUAUAAUAGAAGAACUUUACUUUAGUAACUAUCAUACUGGUAUAAGAGCCCUCAACCUGGGGAUGAUAGGAAAGGUGGCACAGAAGAAAAUUGAAGAACGGUUAGGCGUAACUGAUUUUGAAAUUGCCAGGAUUUAAGUAGAUGUUCAGAAGUUACCACAAAUUGAAGAAACGCUGCUUGCACUUGCUUAAGAUUGUUCAACGCUUUAUCCUUAUAGCACAGUUGGAACAACAACGAAGGAAUGCAGAUGACACUCAAACAUUAUUGGCUUCUCUAGUUUCAGGUGUUGGAUUGUCAGAUCGCCCUUCCAAUUCGGAAUCGAAUGAGGAAAUUAAGAAUACGACAGUGGCAAACACAGUGGAACCUAUUUAUGGCUAUAGGAGCAAUGCAUUCAGACAAUAAUGAGGGUGAACAGGAUCAUAGCAAAUUAAACAAGUUUGAGAUGUCAGUAUUCAAUGAAUCCGAUCGUUACUUACAAAUCCAUAAACUUACUGAUUCCAAAAAAUUAACAGUGACAGUCAUUAGCUUCAAAGCAGCGGAGCAUUAGCUUCGAAGCAGCGGCUCUCAAUUGGUACCAAGCCACAGACAAACGAGAACCAAUUUUGAAUUGGAAUGAUAUGAAACGAAGAUUGUUGAUCCGAUUUGGCUCAUCAUGCCAAGGUUCAGUUUGUGGGCAAUUUCUCAUAAUCAAGCAAGAAACAGUGGUGGAGGAAUAUUGCAGUCCGUUUUGAUAGGUUAGUGGCUCCUUUACUCCAACUACCUACCAAAAAAAUUAAAAAAAGAACGUGUCCUCUGCAUGUCGUGUCCUAUGCAUGUUGUAUCCUAUAUGUUAAAAAACUGGUGUGUCGUAUCUCGUGUCGGUGUUCGUGCUUCUUAGGUUUUGAAUUUAAAAACUCUUCUAAAUAAUUUUAAAAAAGGAUUUCCUAUUGUUCGGUUUUUCUCUGACUUACCAAUUAAAUUAUUUGGUUGCACUACUUAUGUUCAUAAUCCCAACUCUACUCGUACUUCACUUGAUCUAGCUGUUAAAUGCAUUUUUGUAGGCUGUCUCCUAUAGGAAGGCUUACAAAUGUUUUGACACUUCGACUAAAAGGUAUUUUGAGAGUAUGGAUAUGUCUGUUUUUGGAAAAUCAACCUUUUUUUAGCCAAAAUUCUCUUUAGAGGGAGUCCCCUAACCUUAAGAUAAUUUUUGGGACACUUAACCUAUCCCAAACACCAUUGAUUCCAAAGUUAUGAGCUAACUCUUGACGUCAAGUGUGGAGAGUUCUUCAGGGGGAGAACCACUAUAGACUGACUUGACAAGUAAAAACCUGAACUACAGCUUUAUAAUAAAAGAAACUUGACUCGAAGGAAUUGAGAAUGAUCUAUCACAAAACCAAACUAAUACCCCGAUAAAUGAUUAUGAAGAUCCAGGUAACAUACAUUCUCCUUUUACUUCGUCUAAUUCUCCCCGUUCUUCUCAUAAUUCCUUGUCUAAUGUCUCUGAUCUUGAUAUUACAAUUGCCAACAGGAAAGGUACCAGUAAAUUUGUCAAAUAUCCCAUUGCAAACUAUCUUUCUUAUCGUAAACUUUCACAAUCAUAAAGCCUUUACAUCCAAAAUAAUCAACCUGUUUGUUCCAAGGAAUAUACAAGAGGUCCUAAAUGAUUUGAAUUGGAAAUUAGCAGUGAUGGAAGAGAUGAAUUCUACAUGGGAUAUACUUGAACUACGAAAAGAAAAGAAAACAGUUGGAUGCAAGUGGAUGUUUACGCUAAAAUGUAAAGCUGAUGGUAGUGUCGAGAGGUACAAGGUUGGAUUGGUUGCUGAGGGGUUUACUCAAACCUAUGGAGUUGAUUAUCAAGAAACAUUUGCUACAGUUGUCAAAAUCAAUUCUAUUAGAAAUUUGUUGUCUGUUGUAGCUAACUUUGAUUGGCCUCUUUAUCAAUUGGAUGUUAAGAAUGUCUUUCUCAAUGGGGAACUGAAAGAAGAGGUAAUUAUGGACUUGCCACCUAGUUUUAAGGUAGAUCUCGGGAUUAACAAAGUUUGCAAGUUAAAGAGAUCAUUAUACGGUCUCAAACAGUCUCCUAGAGCUUGAUUUGAACGCUUGUAUAUUCCUUGGAACAAACAGUCUCCUAGAGCUUGAUUUGAUUCGAGAAAGUAGUCACGGGCUAUGGAUUCAGUCAAAGCCAAGUCGAUCAUAUGAUAUUCUACAAACAUACAGGAAAUGACAAGGUUAUGAUUUUGAUAGUUUAAUUUGAUGAUAUCGUUCUUACAAGCAAUGAUGAGACAAAACAAACUUUUGUGAAGAAAAAGUUGGCAGAUGAUUUCCAGAUCAAGGACCUAGGAACUUUAAAGUACUUCCUAGGCAUGAAGUUUGCCAGGUCCAAAAGUGGCAUUCUUUUCAAACAAAGGAAGAAUAUUAUUGAUAUGUUAAAAGAGACAGGUUUACUUGGUUGCAAGGUAGCAGAAACUCCCAUUGAGCAGAAUUUGAAAUUGAAAGUUGCAACCAAGAAUGAGAUAAAGGAAAGAGAAAAGUACUAGAGACUUGUAGGAAGACUCAUAUAUCUUUCCCACACGUCCUAACAUUGCUUUUGAAAUUAGUAUCAAAAGUCAGUUCAUGCAUGCUCUUGAACCAACUCACUUUUAUGCCGUUUAUAGAAUAGAAUCCUAAGUAUUUGAAAGGUACUUGAGGAAAAGACACAUUGUUUCAAAGACAUGAUCAUCUAAUGUUAACGUUUACACUAAUACUAAUUGGGCAGGUUGCAUGACUGAGAUCUGGUUACUGCCCCUUCCUUGAAGGAAAUCUUGCUACUUGGCAAAGUAAAAAACAGAGUGCUGUUGCAAGAAGUAGUGCAGAAGCAGAAUUUAGAGCUUUAACCCAACGCAUUUGUGAGUGUAAAUGAAUAAGAUUGUUGGAAGAAUUGGGAUUCACUCAAACAAUGCUCAUGCAGUAUCACGGCAGCAAUUUCCAUUGCCCACAAUUCAGUCCUUUAUAACAAGACGUAACAUACUGAAGUCAAUAAACACUUUAUAAAGCAAAAGACCAAUGUGGGAGUAAUAUGCAUACCCUACCUUCCGACAACAGAACAAAUUGCAGAUGUGUUAACUAAAGGCCUUCCAAAGUGGCAAUUCAACAAACUGAUUGACAAGCUAGCAAUGACUGAUAUCUUCAAACCAGCUUGAGGGGAAAUGUUGAUUAUUUCCUUUAUUGUAUUAUAUUUUAUUGUGUUGGUUGUAUAAUAUUUGCCAAAUUUAUUUUUUCCUUUUUUGUAAUGAGUUGUUUUAUUUAAGUAAAAUCUUGCUAUUUGUGAAAUAAACAAGAAAUAUAUUAUUUUAGCAUAAAUCAAUGAAGUCUUAAUUCCAAGCGAUGUUUACUGGAUUUUGUUUGCCUCUUUAUUUGUUUUGAGGAUCUUUUUUCUUCUACUUUGUUUGCUUAUUGGUUUGUAUUUUGAGUAUAUCUCUUUUCAUUUCCCUACGUGAUGGGAAACUUGUUUUCAUUUCCUUAUGUGAUGGGAAACUUCCGCAAGGAAGUCUCUUACUGUGAGGAACCAGACUAUUCCUAUAUUUGCACAAUUCCGAGUAAACGAUGUAUAAGAAUGCUUAACGACAGAUGGUCUUCCUUUUUAAGAAUGUCCUGCGUUGUGGGUGGUCUCUUAUUCCGCCGCUUUCUAGAGCUAUGCCGCUGCCAUUACCCCUUGGAUUGGCCAUGAGACAAACAUUUUAGUUUCUUCAUUGCAAGUCUCUUUGCAUUUCCUUAAUGAACAGUUUUUUAUAUAUAUUGUAUCCUUUUCAAAACAAUAAUAAAUAAAAUAAAAAGACAGCUAUCUGUUUAGACCAAUAUACUAUAAGUCCAAUACCAACUAUCGGGGUUUUACCUCUCAAAAAGACCAACUUUGAGAAUUACAUCUGCUAAAUUUGAAUUGGCCUUUCCAACAAGUUGAAGGAGCUUUUUCUUAUCCAUAGUGAAUGUUCCUGUUUUCUCCAUUUUACGAUUUAUAUCUGCAAACUCUUCAACCAAACUAUCAACCUGAAAAAGAAAAGAGAGAAAAGAAAAGGCAUGUUUUGAGAACACAAAUACAAGCACUAAUUGGUGCUGAAGAUUAAAAUGCCAAACUCGGAGAAUUAGUAACUUAGAUAUUUAAUGAGCAAGCAGAUCUCAUAACCUCCGUCAUUCCAGCUAAGUGACAAAAAAUGUCAAUUAUGACACGAUGAUGGAAAAGUUGCAGGAAAUUAUGAUGUCACCAAUCAUGCUUUAGGAAUAGGUCUAGAAAUAAUAUGAGUGGCCUACUAGGUUGUCCCAGGAGUAAAUAAAAGAAUGUGAUAGACUGCCAAUGAUUGUUCACAUAACCAGGCAUUGUAAUCCCAUUUUUUUAUUUUGCUUCCAUACCAAAUUGUAAAACCAAAUUGUAUUUAUAUGUUGUCUUGAUCUUUUGGGAUCAUUCUUUGGAUUGGAGUCCUUUAUUGUAGGAAGGGUUGAACUCUCUUUUCUAUCCUCUUGAGUGCCCUUCUAUGUUCUUCAUUUCUCUCCAAGAAAUUGUGGUUUUGAAUAAAGAUUAAAGAAACAAAAAAUUGAUAAAAAUCAGUUUGACAAAAUGUAAUUUUUAAAAAGAACAUAAAUAACUACAGACAUUUCAAGAGCUCCCCAUCUCUCCUAAUCCUAACCAAAGAUAAUUCUUAGAGAGAACCUAUUGGCACCUACUAACCAAUAUAUACCCAUCUACUAGGAACGGGUCUGGUUUCAUUAAAAGAUUAUAGCAAUGAUUCUACAGUUUUGUAUCCUAUUUGACACCUUUAAGGAUUAUUUUGUGUGUUGUAUUUUGUUUUUCAUAGACACCUGUCUAAUGAAGAGCUGUUACCUAUAAUUGGAAAAAUUCACCCAUCAGAGCAUUACUAUGCAAAACAACAGGCAGAAUAUAUCAUACAGCAGGUACUCAUCCAUAACGAAUCUUAAAAACCCAUAUGCAAGUCGAUGAAUUUUUUAGCUUUACUUUUACGAUUGAGAUAUUGCUUGGAUAUUGUGGCACAUAUUAAUGUCAUCAACAAACAUCUCAUGAUUCUUAUGUAUGGUUGUAGAAACAAUUUACUCUUUCUUUUCCUCUAUCAGUGAGAGCUUGCUGGGUUGUCCAUGGAUUGUUUUAUACUCUGUACAGUUAUUUUAAUUUUUACUUGACCGACCACCCAUCACAUAUAAGUAAUAUUGUGUAAAAUUCAUUUUACGAGUAGUAAAAUCGGUCAUAUUAAAACGCAGUCAUUACACCAAUUGUUUUCUGUUUGCACUUUGUGGACUGAAUGGUUAUUCUCUUGGAAGUUCCUUUAUCAGAUUUCAUUAUAAAUCUAUUGCAUCUGACUUUUAACUCAAUAAACUGUAGCAUAAUUGUUAAUGUUAUUAUGGUCCUCAUUGAUUUUAAUAAGAUAGACCAAGUGUUCUCUAUCAGCCUCAGAACAUAAGAUAUAGUAUGACGUCAUUUAUCUUAUCAUUUUACAUGGAAGAACUUUCUUGCAAAUGUUUUCUAAAUGAGAAAACAUUACCAUAAGGCAUAAGAUCUAGAAUUAGACUAGGCCUGGAAAAUAUUUUCAUCUUCCAGAGGGAGCAACUGUUGGAAUUUUUUGUCCUAAAACUCGUAGUUUGUAAAUCAUAUUCUGUUCAAUAAAGUUGUUAUUGAGAAAUUAAAUAUUAUAAUCUUAAAUCAAUAAAUCAAGUUCCAAGGCUAUUUUUAAAUAAACUUGAACUUUAUGUGUAAACAUAAACGUGAUCAAGUUCGAGUAUAUAGCCUAAAUAGUCUAUAGUAUAUGAAAUAAAGGUUGGGCGCCUUAUUUAGAGAAACUAUGGAUGCAGCCCACUUUGUAGUGCAAACGAGGUGAUCCUAAUCGUUCAUGUAGAGACAUGAAAGUGGGGGCAUCCUAUGUAAAAUGUUUACAUAAGACUGAACCAUGAAUUAGUCAUUUUUACGUUAUAACACCGUUUUACUGUUUAAAACUGACUAUCUCAAUUAUUUGAUGACCUAGGUAACUUAGUCUUAAUCCUGAGUUAACUAUGAACUCCUGUUCACACGAGAUUAUCCUUAGAUCUGCAUAGGUGAGGGCAGCUCAUCAGCGUUGGCCCAAUAAGCCUCCAUUUCAGGGGUAAGAUCGGGUGGAUAGCUGGGAACAUAGGGUACAAGAUGGAAUUCACUCCUACCCGCUUUAGGGUUAGUAGAUAGGUUGCUCUCUUAAGCACUGAAUCCAAGUCUUGAACAAGGGGCCCCACCCUCUCAUUGGCCCGAGAGGGAUUAAGUUUAUAGGUUGAACCUUAACCAAUUGUUCAAUAGUGGAUUAGUGGGACUUAAGGAGCAAGAUGUAAUCUUGGGGUAAAAUGGUAUUUUGACCCAGCCAAGGUUACGAGCAACCUGUGAAGGAUUAACUUACUGAUUAUGGUUUUAUCAAAUGGACACAAUAUAUCUAUAGUGAGGGAGUGCAACUACGGGACUUUAGUGGAAUGACCCGUUAGUUAACGAAUGUUGAUUAACUCGGUUUAAAAGAGUUUAGCUAGUUAAUCUUGAAUCGUUGGAGCCCAUGAUCUAUAGGUCCAUUAGGUUCCUCUGCUAGCUCAUAUGGAUUAAACUUAGAAAAGUGUGAUGAAAUAAGUCGAAUUGUUCGAAUUGGAGAAGAAAGGGAAACCGACAUAUAUAGUGAUAUAGUCGUCGGUCUUCUAAUUAGAAAUAGAGUUUUAUGUUUUACAUACUAUAAGUAUGAAUGCGGAUUCAUACUAAGAAGCUCGAAUUGGUCAAAAAUAGUAAAAAGUCAAAAUGUUGACUUUUGACUUUGAGAAGUCAAACUUUGACCGGCCUUAUAUUCAAAUGUGAUUUGAAUUUUGGAAAAAUGAAUGCGGAUUCAUGCUCGGGAGGUUGGAAUUAGUCAAGACGGACAAAAAUGGUAAAAAGUCAAAAUAUUGACUUUUGACUUAGAAAAGUCAAAGUUUGACUUUUGACUAGAAAUAUCUAAUGACCAUUUUACCCUUGGACUAAGUUAGUGGGAAAAUCCAACAUUUUUGUUGGAUAAUCCCACUAACUCUUAGUGGGAUAUGUGGCUAUAUGAGAUAUAGACACCUAGCCCACUAAGUUCCAUUAAUUGUUAGUGGAAUAUUAGGUGUUGAGAUUUGGCAAAUGAAUUGCAUGCAUUUUUGCAUGCAAUUAGGCUAUAAAUAGAGGUGUUUUCAAAUGUUGAAGGACUUUGCCUCUUUUAUCAUUUUCAUCAUCUCAACAAAAGAAAAAAAACUUCCAAUCUCAUUUUAUCUCCAUUAUUUUCUACACCAAAAUUGGGUCCCACAAACCGGUUCUUUGUCUAGAGGAUAGCAGUUGAGUACUAGUGGUGUCUCGGGUAGAAUUGGUAAGAAGACAUCAACUUUUGAAAGCUUCAAAGGUAAUACUUCUUAAACACUAAUUUGAUUAGUUUAUGUUACAUGUUAAUUGUGGCAAUUAGGGUAGAAAUUCGAUUCUUUUUCCGCUGUGCAUGACUUAGUUCUAUCAGCAACUACAUCUGUUGAUUAACAUCUUCAUUCUGUCUUUAUUUUACAGGCUGAUGCAGAUAAAGAUGGACGUCUCACCUUGGCAGAAAUGAUCGAUCAUCCUUACGUAUUUUACAGUGCCAUUUUCAACGAAGUUGAUGAGGACGAUUAUGAUUUCCACGAUGAGUUUCGUUAAGUUUUUUCAUGUAUGGACACCUCCCUCUAUCUAACAAACUUCGCGGACAAGAUCAGUCUUGAUGUUUGUUGCUGUUGCAGGAAUAGUCGAAUAGUCAGAUAGGAUUAGCAGUAGAAAAACGGAGUUCUUUCACAGCAUGGAAUCGGGAUACAGAGUUUGAAGUCUUAGGCAACAACUUGGAGGCAUCUCUCUGGCAUGGUGGUCAGAACUGGGUUAAACUUCUUCAGCCAUGGCUCGCCCAUAUGGUGGUAUCCCUCUUUUUGUAGCAUAUGAAACCCCCAUCUUGUCUAAGAUAACAAUGGUUUCACACCUUAGAUUAUAGACAUUUAUUUGCAAAUAGUUUUGUUAAGUUCAAUGUCCUUGGUAUAGAAUUACCAUUUAAUUUUAUUUGUUACUAAUUUAUUCUUCCUGGAUAGAAAAUUAUCAAUUAUUCAAUCAUAUUUAUCUUUUGAGUAUAGGGUUUUGAAAAGUGAGCUACAAACAGGUGUGUAAUUUUAGAUUUUGUUGCCUUUUCAAAUAUGAUGUUGGAUAUGAUAUUUGGUUUAAGAAUUUUUGGACCAAUCACGAAAAGUACAAAUAAUUGAAUUUAGGACUAAUUAAAAGUUGACAUGUGUUGACAUAAAGAUGAUGCCACGCAUUUUCAUCGUUGGUUCAAGUUAAAGUUAACUAUUUUAGGUUCAAUUAAAUAUUAUUUAUUUGUACAAUUUUAGCCUAAGAGCUAAAUAUGACAAAAAUUUAUGUAAUAAGGUUAACUUAGUUGGAGAGCUAAAUACGACAAAAAUAUAUGUGAUUGGAUCAUGAGUCUGAUCCAUGAUCAACAAAGUCCAAGCCAUAGAAGACUAUAAUAGAAGAGUCCUCCUCAUCUGUGGAGAUAGAAAUUUUUACUCCAUAGGGUUAAAGAGAAUUCUCCUAAGAACAAGAAGACUCUCGUCGACCACCCUCCAAGAUUGAAGAAAAACAUUAUGUGUUGUAGCUUCCUCAAAUCAAACAUAUAGACAUUCAAUCGAGAGAAAAUUAAAGGAUCAAAUAUUAGAAAUAUUGUUUGGUCAAAUUGACACGUUCGAUGGAUAUCUCUACCUCUUAUCUCUCUCUCAUCAUCUAAAUCUACAAGCAAACCAAUGACAAUAAAGAAAGCUUAAUCCAAAUCUUCUAUAAGCGACACUUGCACAUCUUCUAUUGCAAGCGACGGUUACACAGGACUAGGACCUGUACCCACAGUGUUCAAGGGAAAUCAUCCAGGAGCAGAAUCAAGGUUCUGUCAUUGCGUAGAGCAUUCUUAAGCAAUUGAUGGAGUUUCCUAAAGUUGGGAUUGUCAUCAAGGAAUCCCUUGCUAUAAGAAGAUCGAUAAUCACGAUAAGGUAUAUAGGGAAUAAGUUCACACCUAAAUGAAAUGAAAUAGACCCUACAUUGUCAAAGAAGUUUACACAAAUGAAGUAUACAAGAUUGUUGAUCGAGAUAGAUUAAAAGUUGCCCCAAUCAAUGAUAGGAUUCUCAAGACAUUUUAUGUGUAACGUCAUUAUGUAAAAAGCUCUUUAUCGCAAGAGCUUAAACUGCAUAAUCUCCAAACCCACACGAGCUUAAAAGGUGAGUGAUAAAAAAAAAAAAACCCAAUCAAACUAUUUGAUCUCAAUGUUAUAAAAAUGGUACGUAGGCAGCUUAAUGUUAACUUUAAGUUCAGUUAUAUGUGCAAGAAAAAAGUUUAGUAAGCGACAUUAUGACUUAAUCUCAUAGUAAAUGGUAUGUAAGCAACAUAAAAUAAGAAAUUUUCAUUAUCAUUAAAGCAAAGUUUUGUAUUUACUGAAAUUAAAAAAAGAAAACGAAUAAAAAAAAGGGAAGGGGAGCAAAGUCAAAUCUUCCACGUGAAGCUCUUAAAUUCCUCGUGUGUAGCCUCCAUACUCUUAUGAACUGUAGCUAGAGCCUCGAUGACUUCUUCUUUGAUAGCCGGAGUGUUGACUUCAUUCUGGAUCUUUGCAACUUCUAGUUCUUUCUUGUCUAUGUCUUCGUUCUUCUCACAAGAUAAGAUAGAUAGAUGUUUAGACUCAGUAUUUAUACUUUGAAGUCUGCUUUCUAGUUCCAUCUUUUCCAAAGCCAAUUGUGCAACCCUCUCUUGAAUAACUUUGGCAUCUUUUCGUAAUUGGUUUAUCAAAGUUAAGGCUUCUUGUCUAAUUGAUGAGCUUUGUCUGUCGACGACAACUACGCAAAAUACGAAGAUUGUACAACAUUGAAAUUGUCUACCCUCUUAAAAUAGUUGUUUAAAUAUUCUUCAACAAGGAGUUAGGUUGUCUGCAUAGAUCUUCGCAAUUCUCGAAAGUAUCGUCGUUAUAUUUUGUCUAAAUCUUGAGAUAUAUUUAAAAAGAGUGCACAUGAUCUUGUCUUGAAUGUCCUCUCACAUGCAUAAAGCCGUUUUCUGAAGUAUGUUUGAAACUAUCUUUUCACCAACCCAUGAGAAGGCACAGGGUGUCCUACCAUCUGCUUCUUGGAAGUGUUUAAAGACAACUCAGAAAUCUGGAGAAGAGCAUGUGUGGAUAUGACAUUCUCUGAAGUUUCUUUGGGGCAGACAUUUCCUUUAGAUGGAGGAUUCAAAUUUUUAACAUUUUUUUCAUUCACUUUCAUCUUACCACGUCGAUUCUCCUCGAGGAGAGCACAUGAUUGUUCAGCAACUAGUAGUUUUUAGGUACCAACUUCUUUAAUGGCCAAAUCCACAACAUGAGGCCGUGUCAAAGAUUCAUCGUUGCAUUGCUCAAGCUCUUGAAGAUGAUCAUCUAAAGGUGACUAUAGAAAUAAGUAAUGAAUAAAUCAUCCACUAACAGAAUAAUAAUAAUAAUAAUAAUACAAGAAAAGAAAAAUAUGUGAACUAGUAGUGUCGAAACUUUAGGAAUUUUCAGAGCACUCAAACCCUUUCCAUAGAAAUCAUCACCCAAUGCCUUUGCUUUCUUCGAAGGUCUCUUGCAAUGACGAUCACUUUUGCUACCAUCACUUUCGUCUCUAAGCUCCUUGGCCUCCUUUUGGAGGGUAGGAGUCAUUGCUUUAACCAAAUGAAUAUGUUUACCACCUAGGUUACUCCCUCAAUUCUUGAGUAGUUUGGAUGCUCACCACAUGGUGUCUAUUAUCCUUAAAAUAUGUCUUGUGCUUUGUUGUCCACCAAUUUCUAAAUCGUGUUGUCACAUGCUUGCAAGACUCUAACGUAUGGGCAAGCAAGAACAACCCAAAUAAAGAUUUGCACCUCGUGCAUAUCUCCACCGAUAUAAUGUGUUAUUUGGUGUAAUAACAAGUGACAUUUCCUCUAUAUCAUUAGGUAUAUCUUGGUAAAAGCCAAACUACUCUUGAAAUUGAUAUGGACUCUAUGAUUGCACAGUUCAAACAUUUCCACAGCGAGAUAAUAAGUAGCAUCAGCGCAUACUUACAAGAUAGGAAGACUGAAGAAAUGAUGAGUCAUUAAUAUCAACCAUGCGUUCAUGCUUAUCGGUUUUGAAGGUUUGCAGGCCAUUGAAUUCUUGAACCAUUGUGGAUCAGUUCUAGCGCCUCAUAUUCUCCAAAAUAAAUAGACAUAUCUUCGUCAGAAAAGUUAGCCAAUUUGGGACCCGAAACUUCUGUUGGUAGAGGGUAAUGCGUGCCAAAAUAAUUGAAAAUUUAUGUUGAUUCAAAGAAAUUAAUGGUGGAAAAAAUUAUGGAUUACUGGUGGAUUCAAGAACUGUAACUAGUCAGGUCGAGGAAAUCCAAGUAAAUCCAUGCUGAGAAUAUGACCUUAAGUGAAUCUUUUUAGGUAUCAACAAUAAUUGAAAAAUUGUCACUCUCAUGGAGAGAUUUGAAAAAUUAUCUCAAACAUAAACGCAAAGAGAUAAAACUUGAGAAACUUGUGGAUCGGCUUGGGACUAAAGACAAUAAUAGAAAGGCAGAAAAGUGUGUAUUUUGGAUAGUACAAUAGAUCCCAAGGCGAACACCGUGAAAAAUAAACAACAAUGUAACAAAGAAAAGAAAGUUUUUUUGGUGAAGGUUUGAAUACAAAACCUUUUAUUUGUUUGAUUGUAAUAGAAGAUUUUUCUUCCCCCUCCAUCACUCUACAAUGACAAAUGAAUUUGAUGCCUUCUCAAUUUUCAAAAGUCCUAAAAAUAGUCUUCAAAUUUUAAAACGACACCAAGUUUUAGCAAUUCCUUGUAAAAAUACUCGUAAAUUUUAAAAAUGUGUGAAUACCUCAAUCACCCUCCUCUUCUCUUCCCCUUUUCUACUUCAAUGUACAACUAAACUCUUCUCUAUUUGUUCUUGACUCGACGUCAAUACCCUUUCGUCUUUCAUCUCCCUCUUCUUAUUUAUAUUGAUAUAUUAUAUUAGUGCUUCAUGUUCCCUAAACCAAGCAAGGUUUAGAGAAAGGGAAAUAGAAUUUGUUUUGGGAAAAGGGAAAAAAGGAAAAAGGUAAAAGAAUUGAAAUGAUAAAAGGUAGAGAAAAAGGAUUUGUACAAGUUGUUAGAAAAAAGAGAGAGAAAAAAAAGGGAAGUUGGGAAGUUGGGAGGUUGAGGGGACCAAUUAUGGGAAGUAUGUGAUGGGCAAUACACAAAGAAAAAGGCAGCCUUUAUUGAUGUGCCUUUCUCAUCAUCAUCUCACAAAGCUCAUCCAAUUCAAUAUAUGAAGAUUAAAUUACCAUUGCUUCUUGUUACUGUUACCAUUCUCAUCACUAUUUGACAAUAAAUGCAAUUAAAUUUACAACACUAACAAAAUUCAUAAAAGAAAGGUAGAAAUAAUAACAAUGUAAAUAAAUAAAUAAUUGAAUUAAAAAUGCGGCUAAAUUUAGAGAAAGAGAGAGUUACUUAAUAUUGACAUAUAAAACACAAAGUUCAAUUAUAUGUUAACUUUGAAAACAAUGUUCAAUAUUGUGUCAAUGCUAUGUUAGACAUCGUUGAAAAGUUAAAAAACCUAUUUCAUAUAAAGGUGAAAGAUGAUAUUUAUAAUCAUAUAUAGAUAUGGGAUGUAAUGGUUUUGGUUAAACUUAUAAUUUAACAAAAGAGAGAUAAAGGAUAAGAAAUCACUAUCCUCACCUAUAAACAUCUCUAUUACACAAAAGAAAAAGAAAAGAAAAGGGAAGUAAUUGUUGUGAUUGAUGAAGUCAUGAAUGCACAAGUCCAUACAAAUUGACUUUAGUACAAGUUUGAAAGUAUAGCUCAAGUUUGAAAGUAUAGCUUUGGCAUCAUUGCUAUUAGAAUGGGGAGCCAAAAGGACAAAUAAUAUGUUGGUACAACAAAUAUAUAAUAUCUCCUCCACUCCUAACUUUUUGUCCAUUUCAUUGUUGAACUAUCCAACUUUAAUCUUACCUUUUAUCUAUAAUCAUCUAACACACUUCUUCUUUAAGCUCUCAUAAACCCAUUUUUAUUAGUGUUGCAAUCAUUGCUUUUAAUAGAAAUAGAAGUAUCAACAUUUCAAUUUAGAGUAGUUGUUAAUGCUUAAUGCUUUUUUUUCUUUUUUAUAAAAUAAUUCAUGGAAGACGAAUAUGAGGAGUGAUUCAUAUGGAUGUAACAUCAUUUGAAUGCCUAUCUAAUAAAAAUGACUAGAGUUUUAGAAGUGACUCAAAAAUGAACUGAAUUUACUAAUUCAUCCUUAUAAAUUUGCAGUACACUUAUAAUUGAAAAACGCUAAUUGAUGCACGAUCUAUUGUACUUAAUGCUCGAUACUUGAUGUUCUAUGCUUUAUAUUAUAUUCUCUAUGUUAUAUUUUAGAUACUAGAUACUAGAUACUCACUCGAUGCUUAAUGCUCACUGUUCAAUACUUGAUGUUCUACGUUUUAUUUAUGUUAUAUAUAUGUUUAUCACUUGAUGCUCUAUACUUGGAAAAAAAAAAAGCAAAAAAGAAGAAAAAAAAGCAUUUAAAGUUAAAAGUGAUAAUUUUAGAUAGUGAUACGAUCGUUAACGUUUUUAAUUGGUUUAAAAAAGUAUGAGAUAUUUUAUUUGAGGUGAUAUAUGCAAAAAUUUCAAAUAAGGGUGUAAAACUUUAUAGCUAUAUUUGCAUUUAGAAUAAAUAUUUUAUAAGGUUAUUUAUCAUAAGACAACAAUAAAAUUGUCAUUAAACAAUCUUGAGAGGUUGGAUUUCAAAACUUUUACAAAUUUAGGAACAUUUUCAUUUAAUACUUCUAUUCAUUUGACAAUAUUUAUAGUGUUAUAUCAUUUAAAAUAAUUUAUAUUAUUCAAAAUCAAUUAUUUUGCUUUCGAUGCCUUUAAAAAUAGCAAUUGAUAAAAUAUUUACAAAAUUAAAUUUGCUAAUUUUGUCAAAUUAUUUUGUUGAUGGAAUUGAGUUGGUUAUUUUACCAACUUACUCUAACUCUCUCCAAUUCUUCGUCCAUUCAAUGUUUUAAAUGGUUUCCCCCAUUGGCCUCCAUUAACAAUUACCACUACCACACUUUGGUGACAUACUCCGACAACUUUGAGCUUAUAUGACCAACUUUGAUGAUCACCUUCACACAAGAAAUUUCAGUGACAUACUUCGACUUCUACCUUCGUGUCGCCAAUUUCAUCAACCAACUUGGGAUCCGCUAACCACCUCCGACGAAAAUCCUAGUGACUAACUCUAAUGACUACCUUUGCACAAGCAACUCCAUUGACAUAUUUUGAGCAGCCACCUUUAGGUGACCAACUCCGAAAACCAACUCUAGGCUCCAAUAACCACCUCUAACCACAAACUUCGAUGAAUAUCACUUUGGAUGAUCAACUUCAAUGACAACCAUCUCUGGCAACCAACACUAACAUAUAAUCAAGAGACCAACUUUGAUGAAGGCCACCUAUAAUGAGACCGUUAGUGAUAACUCUAUUUUUUGUGAACACGUAAAUAGACGUUUGCACAUUUCCUCCAACUAGUGGACAAACAACGAAACAAGAUAGGAAUUGUUCUCUUUUUAGCUAACAUUUAUGAUGGAGUUAAAAUUAACUGAGAGUUCAAAAUUGAAGGUUAGGGAGUAGAGAAAAAUGUUCAUUUUAUUGAAAUAUAAGGUGUCAAAGUAUGAUAUAUGUUUACUUGGUAGAAGUUUUGUUAGAUUUGAAGGAAUAGAAGAAAAAAAGCAUUUUUUAGUAAUUUUUUUUAUAGAAAAAGUAGUGUACAUUUGGAGGAAAAAAAAAAAACUCAAUACAAACUCAAUUAUGUUUUAGAAAAAACGCACCACAUAUACGUCAACAUAACUUUACACAAACUUUUAACUUAGCUCAACUCACUACUCCAAAGAUCCAAACACAGACAUUCUAACUUCCAAAUAAUAAUUACCAACCUAACUUAACUAUGCACAGUCAACAUCUCUUUAAAGCUUUGUUUGAAGCCUCAAAAUUCUGAGUGAUUUUAUUUUCUAACAGUUUCAAAUAAAUUUCGUUUUUUAUCACAUAAAAGAGAAGGAUUUUAAAAUUUGAAAUGAUUUCAAAUCAUGUUUUUAUUUGAAAAUUUUUCUUGCCAAAAUAAUCGGUUUUUGUAGGAUUUUAUAGGGUUUAGAGUAAAUUAUAUAAUUGACCUCGUCAUUUUCUAAUUUUCAAGUAACAAUCAUAGAUAAAAGUCUAAUUUAGUGAAUUCUUAACUUUUUUUUUUUUUAAAUGCAUAAAAGUCUAAUUUUCAAGUAACAACGAAACUGUUGAUGUGCACACGUGUGUGUGUGUCUGUGUGUGUGCUUAUGUGUGUCUGUGUGUGUGCGGACGCGUAUGUGCUUGUGCGCGUGGGUGUGUCGGUGUGUGUGCGCUCAUACGUGCGUGUGUACGUGUGUGCGCAUUUGCCCGUGUCCGUGUGUGCUUGUGUGUGAACAAGUUGAUAUAUUUUAAUGUUGAGUUUCUCUCAAUUUUAAAAUAAUAAUUUUAUUAUCUUGAUAUUCAAGUCAUUAAUGUUAUUUUGAGAUAAAAGAUAGCGAACAAGUUGAUAUUUUUUAAUUUUGAAAUUCAAUUUAGGUUAUUUUAAUACAAAAUCUAUCUGAGAUUUUGAAAUUUUGAAAAAUAAUAAUUCUGUUAUUUUGAAAUUCAAUUUGGUUGUUUUGAAAUUUCAAUUCCAUUAGGUUAUUUUGAAAAUUGUAAGAUUGAGUAAAUUUAUGAAAAUCUUGAAUCAAUUACUUGAGUCUCGAGAUAUUAAGAAAAAAUUUAUGAUAUAGGUUUAUGUAUCUUUUUCAGAUAAAAAAAUAAUUAAAAGUUGAUAAAUGCAUAACAUAAACUAAUUACAAAGUAGAAACAAAAUAAUUACAGUUGGAGAAGAUGGAUAUUUUGGUAUUUUAGAAAAUAUCAUGCACGUGAUAGAAUGCUAUUUGCUAAAAUUCAAAAGAAAAAGUAGUUUUGUCAUUUUUAAAAUGACCCAUAAAAACGUUGUUAUAUCUCUUAUGACAAAGAGUGUGGAUCUACUGGUCCAUAUUCGACUUGUUUUUUGUUGGUAAAAUUGGAUAAAACUUCAUUAUAUUAAAAUAAUUACACUAAUGACACUUUUCAACCAAUAUUGAUAAAAAUUGUUAUUUAAUUAAUGUUAUUAAGUCAAAUGAAUAUGGUUUAAAAGUUUUUCUAUACACAAUUAAUUUAAUUAUUUUUAAAUUUUAAUUCAUUUACACAUCUUUAUACAUAUGUGUGUGUGUGCGCAUGUGUUCGUGUGUGUGUGCGUGUGCGCGUGCGCGUGCGUGUGUAGGUAAGUGUGGAUGGGUGUGCGUGCAUAUGUAUGUGUGUGUGUGUGCAAAAGUGCGUGCGUGCGCACGUGUGCGAGUGUGGUUGCGUGCAUGUGUAUGUGUGCGUUCGUGCGUGUGUGCGUGUGCGAACAUGUUGAUAUUUUUUAGUGAUGAGAUUCUUCCAAUUUUAAAAUAAUAAUUUCGUUAUAUUGAUGUUUAAGCCAUUAAUGUUAUUUUGAGAUAAAAAUAGCGAACAAGUUGAUAUUUUUUAAUUUUGAAUUCAAUUAAGGUUAUUUUGAUACAAAAUCUAUGUUGAGAUUCUCAAAUUCUGAAAAAUAAUAAUUUUGUUAUUUUGAAAUUAGUAAGAUUGAAUAAAGUUAUUAAAAUAUUGAAUCAAUUAGUUGAGUCCCAAGAUAUUAAAAAAAAAGUUGCAAUAUGGAUUAAUUAAAAGCUGAUAAAUGACAUAAAUUAAUUACAACGUAGAAACUAAAUAAUUACAGUUGGAGAAGGUGGAUAUUUUGUAAAAUACCAUGCACGUGCAAAAAAUGUUAUUUGCUAAAAUUCAAAAGAAAAAAUAGUUUUUCCAUUUUUUAAAAUAACUCAUAGAAAAGUUGUUAUAUCUCUUAGGACAAAGAGUGUGGAUCUACAGGUCCAUAUUCGACUUAUUUUUUGUUGGUAAAAUUACAUAAAACCGCAUUAUAUUGAAAUAAUGACACUCUUAAACCAUAGAAAUUAUAAUUUAAUUAAUGUUUUUAAGUCAAAUGAACAUGAUUUUUACUCCUAAACAUAAUUAUUGUAAAUGUUUUUUAAUCUUAAUUCAUUUACACAUCUUUGUGCAUAUGUGUGCAUGCGCGUGUGCGUGUGGGUGAGUGUGCGUGUACGCUAGCGUGUGCAUGUGUGUGUGUUUGUGCGUGUGUCCGUGUGUGCGCAUGUGCACGUGUGUGUGUGUCUGUGUGUGCUCAUGUGUGCGUGUGCUUGUAUACGAACAAGUUGAUAUUUCUUAAUGUUGAGUUUCUUUCAAUUUUAAAAUAAUAAUUUAAUUAUUUUGAUAUUCAAGUCAUUAAUAUUAUUUUGAGAUAAAGAUAGUGAACAAGUUGAUAUAUUUUAAUUUUGAAAUUCAAUAACAUAAUUGAGAUUAUGAAAUUCUGAAAAAAUAAUAAUUUUGUUAUUUUGAAAUUCAAUUUGGCUAUUUUGAAAUUCAAAUUCAAUUAUGUUAUUUUAAAAUUCAAAUUCAACAUGCGUGCGUUCGUGCGUUUGUCCAUGUGUGUGUGUGCGGGUGUGUGUGAGUGUGCGUGCGUGCGUGUGUGUGUGCGUUCCUACAUGUGGGUGUGUGUUCGUGUGUGCGAACAAGUUGAUAUUUUUUAAUGUUGAGAUUCUCUCAAUUUUAAAAUAAUAAUUUAGUUUUCUUGAUAUUCAAGCCAUUAAUAUUAUUUUGAGAUAAAGAUAUCGAACAAGUUGAUAUUUUUUAAUUUUGAAAUUCAAUUAAGGUUAUUUUGAUACAAAAUCUAUCGUUGAGAUUCUCAAAUACUAUUAAAUUAUAAUUUUGUUAUUUUGAAAUUCAAAUUCAAUUUGGUUAUUUUGAAGUUAGUAAGAUUGAAUAAAAUUAUUAAAAUGUUGUUCUCAAAUUAUAUAAAUUUGGUUACACUAGAAGAAAUUUGCCAUUCAAUAUCGGUUUAAAAUCGACAUUAAUGAUCUUUGGUGUCAGUUCAGAACGACAUUAAUGAUCUUUGGUGUCAGUUCGGAACUGACAUCUAUGCUAGCGUUAUUAAAGGCCUUUAAUGUCUUUUUUGCUUUGAUGUCGGUUUAAAAACGAUAUCAAAUGCAUCAGUAAUGUCGGUAUGGUCAUUGAUGUUGGUUUAAAACCGACAUUUUUUAUGGUGAUAUUGUUGACCUUUAGUGUCGGUUUGCCUUUGAUAUCGUUUUUAAACCGACAUUAAAGUCUUGUUUUUGGAUCUAUUUUACAAAAAAAAUAUAUAAUUAUUGCAUUAUUGUUCAUUUUUUAUAAACUGACAUUAGAUACAUGUAAAUAAAUAUUUUUUUCUCACACCAACAAAUCAAUAAAAUUAAUAUUAUUUUAGGAACUACAAUAUUUUUCUUUUACAUUUGUAUAUAGAAAAUGAAAUCUUAAUAUUGCGUUUGUAUAUACAUUCUAUAAUAAUACAUGAAACUAGAUCCUAAUACAAGACUUAAAUAAGAAAUCUUAAACGCUUUCACAAUCUUCAACUUCAACAAUUGCUUCCAUCUACUUAGCUUAGCUUGGCUGGCUAUCUAAGACCAAAAUAUACUUUACAACCUGGGGAAGAUUAAAUCUAGAAUUUGCAAAAUUAGUACAUAUUAUUUAAAAUCAAACUAAACAGACUGCAAUCUAAAUGUGGAAAAUUAAAAAUUACCACAAAGUUUCAGUAGAGUAAAUAAUGUAGCAGCAACAAAGAAGACAAUUGAAAUGGCAACCCAAAAGUGCUGCAAAAAUAAAGAAGAAAAUAAGCUUUGAUCAAACAACUCAUUAAGAAGAAGAAAAUAACCUAAUUUGGUUCUUCAAAGAUCUAUAAGAAAAAGAGGAAUACAACUAAAGAAUAAUUAUACCAUCCUCGACUCUUACUUCAAAGCAAAUUUUGAAUGUUCAAUUUAGCAAUGCUAGUCUAUAGGCUUCUUACUCUUAAUUGUAUAAAUUUACCCAUCAAUAGCAACAUUGUUUUUAUAGAGAAAGUUAAACAAUGGAGAUGAUAAAUAAUCUUACAAACUCCUAUUGGAUCGUUUUUCUUUUCAAAUGAAAAUAGUUAAUUUAUUUCAUUUAUGGAAGGUGAAAAUCUCAAAUAUAUAGUAAAAGAACAUGGAAUAUAAGGAAGCCCAUAAAAAGAAGAGACUCCACUAGCUAGGUAUUGAUCAAAGAUAAAUAUAUGGAUAAAUAGAUGCAACCUACAAAUAUAUCAAAACAGACUAAUACUCAAACUAAACUAAAGAAAACAAAAACAUUUACUACUAAAAGAUAAAAUAAAACACAAUUCAAAACAAUUAAUUACCAAGAUUGAUCUCAAUCGAAAACCAAAACGCAUCACAUUAUGAAGAUAUUGUGCUUCACAUAACACUCCAAAUAGCUAUACCAAAAUUACUUACUCUACAUUUUCCAUUUUGGCAAAUCCACCUACAAGAAUGCUAGUUACCAAGCUCAUUUCUAUGCCUUCUCUUCUUUCAUUUUUCUAACAAAAGAUAGUAUGAAUAAGGCUGCACAUUUGAAAAAAUAAAGACAAUUAAUAAUCAAUAAUGCUACCUAGCAGUCACAAGUUAACAAUCAAAUGAAGAAACCCAAGGAUUUUUGCGGCGGAAGCACGAUGAAGAUUGGUUGCCGUUCGCGAUCUAGGGUCACAGAUUGAG
RNAcentral lists this long non-coding RNA (58779 nucleotides) under Cucumis sativus (cucumber). RNAcentral describes it as "long non-coding RNA (CSAT_LNC003021)". Lineage: Eukaryota; Viridiplantae; Streptophyta; Magnoliopsida; Cucurbitales; Cucurbitaceae. The record is from RNAcentral.